CUGAGUAGCAGACCUUUUCUACCUUGUGAAGGAAUCUAGCAUAAGACACAUUAAUACAUGCAGUGUUGAAGGUUCUCAUUAUUUGAUAUAUGAUAUAGUCACACUAUUAAGAGUUCCAAUGAAUUACAUAAAUCAUCACCUUGAUUAUGUCAUAAUUUGACUGAUUUGAGGACAUGGGAGUGCUUCUCUAUUCUCAAGCCAUUAUUAUUAUGAAUCUAGAGUCCUUUUUUGGCAUGGUAGUUUUGGUGAGCCUGCUACAUAUUCAGUCCAAAAAUCUCUGAUAGCUGUAAUUGAAAGCAUUAUUGAGAGAAAAGAUCAUUUUAGUUCAAGCAAAUACCGAAUACUUUUUUACUACGUGGAAAUUCUCUCCCUCAGUAAUUUUGUUACAGUCAGUGUAAAGGCCACAUCUUAUAAUAUGGAUAAGAAAAGUUACUCUGGACAAUGCCUCGUUGAGAUAACUAUUUUCUUCAGAAUGUCCUGUUGUUGAGGAUUACCUCAGGAGCUUGACACCCAGCUGCAGAACACAGAGAGAUUUUCCUUACACUUUAAGCCUUUCUGUUGCCUUCCUCAUGACUAAAACUGAGUAGUGAAAAUAAUAGUGUAUGGAGAAAACACAAAAAAAAUGAAAAUUAAAAAAUUGUAUAUAACCACACAUCCUGGUUCUUUACCAUGUUAUAAUGGGAGGAAUUGUUAGCUAUUAAUUAAAAGCCAAUAAAAAGUUUAAAUAUCUAAUUUACUUGACUACAUUUUUAGUGUAGUGUUUAUUUUGUCUUUUGUUUCUUGAGCAUCUGUUUAUCAUUGACAGUAUUGUUGGGCUACCCACCAGGAGUACUGAGCUACCAUCCAAGCAAAACCCAUUCAGUUACCUGAUGUAUCGUAGAACAUAUUUUUUAGUCCAGCAUCAUAUUUAUAUAUCAAAAACUCCUGCUGAAAGAUGUUUACUAAUAGGAAAUUUAACUUCUCAACUAUUAGCCUGAGACUUAGAUGAUAGAGAGUCCAAUAAUUUGCUGAUUGCUGUAUAUAUUUAUCUGGUUGUUGAAAAGGAGCUUAAGCUAGAAGAUGUUGGGUAAAUUUCCAUGGCUCAGCCUAAAUCUCACAAUUUGCUUUUCAAAUAUUCUGUAUGUCUAUGUCCUUUCAAUCGAGGUCAUGUGACAAAUUGUUUCUGUGAUAGAAGAUAAACUUUCUGAGGGAGAGGCAAGUUGACCCCAUAAUCUCAACUAGUCAGAGAAAUCAUUUAAAGAGGAAGCAAUUUGGAAACUAAAAAUUAGUUCACUCUCUAUUCCAAAAUUAAUAUCCCAUGCUAAUGUGAAAAAUUGAACUAUGGAGUCCAUUUUACUAAGAAUACUGCAUACAUGUUUUCUAAUAAAAUUACACUUUUCUACAUAUACAUACAUUUAUAAUGUACAUAUAAAUUUUAACAAUUUUGACAAUUUGGUAUUCCAGUGAUUUCCCUCUUGACUUCCUGUGCCCAAACUACUUUCUUUUAAAUAUCUCACCUGCUUUAUUUUUUUAUUUUCGUCAAAAUAGGUCUUUAAAAAAUUAGCAUUACCACACAGUGUAUUGUUAAUAUAAUGUAAUUUUUGUUUAACUUAGGAAUUAUUUGAAAUUGGUUCCAGAUGUGAAAGCCAUGGAGAUUGCAUGUAAAUAAUAUUGUGUUUUGAAGCCAGUUAUACUGUGUUAAGUGGAUAAAAACAUGUUACUGAAUAUUGAUUUAUCCCCAUACUUAUGUUCUGAGUGGACUUUGGACUGUUUAAGUAAAAAUAUUACUAUAAAGUGCUUUGAAGUGUUUUAUUCUGAGAAUAGCCCUAUCUAUGUGAGAGGGAAUGAGGAUAGUUAACUUACACUCAUAGCUGCUUUUUUGUCUUGCUCUAUUGUCCAGGCUAGAGUGCAGUGGCGUGAUCUUGGCUCACUGCAACCUCUGCCUCCUGCGUUCAAGCAAUUCUCCUGUCUCAACUUCCCGAGUAGCUGGGAUUACAGGCAUGCGCUACCAUGCCCAGCUAAUUUUUGUAUUUUUGUAGAGAUGGGUUUCACCAUGUUGCCCAGGCUGGUCUUGAACUCCUGACCUCAAGUGAUCUGCCCGCCUCGGCCUACCAAAGUGCUUGAAUUACAGCUGUGAGCUACCGUGCCUGGCCCAUAGCUGCUUUCUAACUUAUAAAUGUCUUGAUAUUUUGGAAUUAUACUGUCUUUUUAUCUGAUUCUUUUUUCUGAGAAACAUUUAAUUUGUGUAUUCUUUGUGGCAUAAAAUGCUUUCAGGCUCAAUCACUUGUAGUUUUACUCCCAACAGUAUUAAGUUUAUUUGUUUUUAAAACUAUCUUUCACAUGUAGUGAAUUUUUAUCACAUGUUUAUUAUAGCUAAUUAAUGUCCUCAUAAGGUAUGUCUGCAAGAUUUUUGGGGAGGGAAGUACUUAUAGACUAGAUUUUCAGGUAGACUGCAAAUUUGAGAGAAACCAUGGUUACUAUUUCAUCAGGAAUGUCUACUAAUCUUGCUCUGUUAUUAGAAAAGAAAGAGAAUAUAUUAUGGAUAAUAACAUAAUCUAACAUGAUUACCUAGUUGUUUGUAUGAUACAGACUGACAUUACUAGAUUUGUUUGUAAAAGGAUCAUCCCAUCUCUGGAAGCUAAGGAAGGACUAGAAGCAGAGAGAUCAUGAAAACAUGCAUAUAGAUAGAUAGAUAGAUAGAUAGAUAGAUAGAUAGAUAGAUAGAUGUCUUCUCUACAGCAUCUUUCUCAUUUCAAAUCAGAAACAGGAAAUCCAUAAAUUCCUGGAAAAUAUUAUCAUUCAUAAUAAUCAGGAAGGUUACUUUUAUAAGGGGAUUUUAAAGAUAUGUUAUAAGUGAAUAACUUUAUUGUUUGAAUUACUUUUCUUAUUCAAAUAUGUGAAUUGUCCAAUAUUAAUACACAUGAAAAAAAUGGUAUAAUACAUUAUAUUAGAGGGGAAAAUCAUGAGAGAUUGGAGAUAAAUUCAAGAGCUACUGUGUAUUUGAUGAGAUGUUUAAUUAUUUCACAAAUUUUAGUGAGGGCCCAAGUUGUACACAUCGCCACACGCAGGACUGCAGAAGAUAAAACAUUGAGAAGACAACAUUCCUGCUCUUAAGGAAUUGACAGGCUAGUGUUAUAACCAUAAUAAAAAUAUAAUAAAUGAUACAAUAAAAAUAUAACAUACUUCAGUAAUCCAAAGAAGAGAGGGAUAAUAUCUGACCAAAAAUAAUUUUUCCCAAACACUAUUAAUUUUUCUAAACAGAGUUGGUUUAAUGCUUCCGUUGAACAAAGCCAUGGCCUUAUCCAUAAUUCCUUACUUGUGAAAUAAUGCAUAAAACAAUGUCUAGCCAGUAGUCACCAUAAGGAUGGUUUGCCUUCCCUCUUUCCUUUCUACUCAGAUAUAGGAAAUCUAUAUGGACAGAUGGAGGUAUUAAAAUGAAAGAUAUAGUUCAUAUUCUAAUAUAUAUCAUCAAAGUUGUUUGUGUUUUUUUAAACCUCUGGGGUUCAUGGGAAUAUAGAAAUGUUAUUCUAAAUUUCUAUGGAAAUGGAGAGACAGAGACAGACUGACUUAUAAGGUAAUCAACACCUAUACAUUCUGCUAAUGGUCUAUUAUGCUAGGAGUUCCCAGCAUAAGAGUCAUGAAAGUUGAACAAAUAUGAAAUAGCCUUGCCCAGUACCUUUUGGGUUUCACCUCAGGAGCAGGUUGUACAGUUAGUCAUACAUCCCAAUUCAAGGCACAUUUCCUUAUAGGUGGUAUCAUCAGUAGCAGUGUAAUUAACUUUACUAAUAGAGUUGGGUUGUUUUCACCUUAAAAUUGUGUCAUCUGACUGACUAGUUGGUGAAAGACAUUUGGUAACCAGUGUUAAUGACACUGUAUUUAUUUAUUCAUAGUACUUUACCACAUGCUGAGUCUGUUAACUGUAUCAUUAAGUACUCUUUUUAUUGGCUUUGUUUGUUUUUAUUGAAUUUUGCAUAACUACAAUAAAUCUUCAGGUAGAAAUGAUUUGAAUAACAGCAUCAGUCUCAUGAAAUGUUCUUUCCCCUCAAGUCCUAGGUUUUUUAUUUGAUAUCAGGAAGUAGAAAUGGCUUUAAAAGUAAAAUGGUAUAUUUAUAAUGUCUUAAAUGAUGAUAACACCAGGAGUAUAUGAUGAAGAAAAUGACCUAGAUAGAAUUUUAAAGAUAUAGAUCUAGGCAUCAAACUCUAAGGGAUGUGUUAGUCACAAAGACAGGUUCAAGAGAUCUAGCCUGUGAGUUUGAGACUUUUCUUUGAUGGUGCUAUUGGGGUCACUAUGAGGUAUAGACUUGCUCUUGAUUUUCUUUCUCUUUACCUAGAGAAUUUACUUCUGUCUUCAAUUCUCACACCCUAUUCAUAUCUUUUGUUGAAUUGUGAUUUCCUUUCUUUGUUUUGAAAUAUGAAAGAAAUCUCUAAAUCAGGUUCUGACAGAUGGGUAUGGAUAACCAUACCCAUCCUAGGUAUUAUUAGCAUUUUGGGGGAGUGUUGGUCAUUCUGUGCAAUUUCUUGAUUGAAAAAAAUGAUAUAUGGAUGAAUCUCAUUAUUUUCAUCAUUUAAUUUGACUCAUUACUACAUGGAAUCAUCAGCUUAGGAUCUCACUUUCUGGUCUUCAUUGUCUUCCUGCAAGAUAUGGCCUUAUCAUGGCUAAUAAUUGCUGGAGGAUAACUCUUCAAUCUUCUUUCCUCUCCACCAACCUGAAUGUAAACUGCAGAGGGGAAAAAAAGCAUGUUCAAAGGAAAAAGCAAAUGAGUGAAUUCUAAUCCCAAGUCUUCUUAUUUAUAGUAAACUUUGUGAACUCAGUAAAAAAUGAACUUCAAAGGGCAGAAAUUCAUGCCUUUUAUGUCACCCUAAGCAAGAUCUGUGCAAAUUCAGCUGUCACUACAUAUGAUAUGGCCUAGAAAUCAUUGAGUGAUGUUCAUUUUAAUUGUCUCAGCCAAAUCAUCUCAGUGAAGUUGAGUUUAAAGAACUCAUCUUUCAUUCUUUGGCUAUGUUAUUAUUUCCCACUUCUACAUAGUCCCUCACCACAACAAAAUAAUAAUAAGCAAUCAUAAAACAGUUUAUUAUUACCUGUUAAUUAAAUUAUUUUAAGCAGUUGCUAUAUUCUGUCCUGUUAUUCAACCUACCCAAAAUUUACUAAAAACCAUAUUUUUGUUACAUAUGAACCUAUAAUACCUUUUGCUAAUACAAGGAAUAUACACACACAUAUGCAUAUAUAUAUGUACACACUCUCCUUUUAAGAGGAAUUAAUUUUAAAAAUUUAGAUACCACCUUAAAAAUUAUAUUAGUGAAGAAUAUUAAAGCAGAGUCAUUGUUCCAGAGUCCUCUUUCCUGCUUCUCCAUCUCUCUCCUCCAGCUAAUUUUGCAUUUCAUGCAUGUGUGUGCAUUGUGCAUGUUUGGAUGUUGUGCUUUUAUUUGGGGUGGGGGGCAGAUACUGAUUUAGAGUUUUCUUUCUACAACAGCCAAAUCCUUUCUGUUUAGGUGGAUAAAAUGUGACAUGGGUGAACUAGCUAUCCUUAAGCUUGAUUUCUUUGGAGGGCCCUUGCUGGAAGUCCCAUAUUCUGUAAAGACUGCAUAGAGCUUACGUACCCAAAUUAUUUUUUUAAAUUAUGUAUAUAUUAAAAUAAUACAUCAAAUGUUGCAACUAGAAUUUAGAAAAAAACUCAUUAUUUUAGAAUGUUUACAAAACUAUUGUCAUUUUUGUCAAUGCACUAUUAUUUUUCUCUGUUCCUGGGAGUAUUUUAGUUGUAAAGUACAAAGUAUAUACAGUUCUAUAUUCCGCUUAUUGUAAUUGCCAUCAUGCCAACCCAUUUCCUUUGUUUCUACAGAACAUUAUCACCAUCACUUUAAAUGACUGCUUAAUAUUCUGUUGGAUAUAUAUAUAUAUCUGAAUGUAUGUAACCAUUCUUAUGUUACUGAAAGUUUGGACUAACUCCCGCUAUUGGCCAUUGUAAAAGCCGCGGUGAAGAUCAUGAAUGUACCUUUUUUCCACAUAACUGAAAAGUUCUUGACAAAUACUAUUCAACUACUUUUUGAAAGUAUUAUAUCAAUGCGCUUUACUGACACCAUCAAGGCCAAUCAUAUGGUUUUAGUGCAAGUAAGUGCUUUAUAAUUAAUCAAGUCCAACUCCUUUAUUAAUCAUCAUUCUGGGCAUUUAGUCUCAAUAGGGAAGUGAUUUGAUCAAUAUCAAACAGCUAUUGUAGGAGAAAAACCAAGACUAUCAUUUGUAUUGCAUUUUUAAGCUUUUCUUUUACAUGAGUAUCUCCUGUAUUCUAGACUCUGUCUAAAUUACUGGAUAUUCUAAGAUAAAAACUCUGUUCUCUAGCUACUCAAAGUCUAGAGAAUUAUGAUUACAGUAGCUCACAAGUACUGAGUAAUUGCUGUGUGUCAGGCACUAGUGUAAACUCAUAAAUGCAAACUGAGGCUGCCUGAAUGCAUUUCUGUGUUGAGCUGCCCAGAAUGGUUAGAAGGUAGACAUGCAGGUUAAUAAUUAAACCAAUAAGCUGUAUAAUAGAUGUGCACAAAACAUCUCUAAAAUAUGAGUAUAAUUUCAUCAAGCAGUCAAUCAGUAAAAUAGGUGGUUAUCUUAAGGUUUGAGAGCCAGUAAAGUCUAGGUUCAAAUCUUGCUGUAAUCCUUACUGAUGUGCAAGUAAUUUAAUGUAAUGUUUCACUUCUUCAUCUAUAAAAUAAAAAUCAAUAACUGAACCUGCCCAAUUUGAUACUUUUGAGCUAUUUGGGCAUGUACUAAAGCUAACAAUCAAUUUAUUAAAUUUGCAGGAAUUUUGCCAGCUGGUUGUGAAAUGAUUAUUUUGAAAUAAAUUUAUAUAUAUUUACAAGUAUAUUUUAAACAAAGGAACAUGCACUUAAACCUCCUAGUUAUUUUAAUAUAUUAUACCAUUAUUUCUAUUCUUGAGGUUAUUUAUGUUUAUUUUAUCUGUAUGUUGGAAACACUAUAUAAUGAUCCUCUGAUGCUCACUUAUUCCUAAUUUUUACGCUAGUGGCAACGUUAGAGCACUGAAAUUUUAAGUGCUACAAAUGAGGGUUUCUUUUCCCUCCCCACUCCUUCUUCUUUCUGGAUAGCCACAAACAUGUUUACAAUAUUAAACAUUUUUCCUUCACAUCAAUGGAGAUGACUCCUGCAGAGUGCUUACUUAGCACAAUGUAUGAGACAUAAGAAGACCAUAGUAAAUAUUAGCCAUUGCUACAUUAAAAGUCAUUUCAUUAAAGAUAUUUUUCCUCUAAUAUUUUAAAAACUACAAACAUGCAGAAAUCUGAAGGAAUUAUACAGUGAACACUCAUAUGUCCACCACUAUAAUUUACCUUUGCUGUAUUUGCUAUACUAAAUGUUGAUCUACCUUUACAUCUUUUUAUUCAUCCAUCAGUUCAUCUUAAUUCUUAAUUAAUACAUUAAAAUAUUUUAUGUAAGGGAAUACAUUUUUUAAAGAAUGAAUUAUUUGAAUUUUUAUUAGAAUGCUUAGAAUAAUUUGUGUUUUCUAAAGAUUUCUCUAAUGAUAGUUUAAGAAAAGGACUGAAAGGAGAUUUCAGAAAGAUUAGAAGGCUGCUACUUCAGUCUAAGCAAAAAUUGAUCAGUACUUGAACCGAAGCAGAGGAGAUAAGAAUUCCAAUGAGGAGACAGGUGUUGAAAGAGAUUUGAUAGGUAGAAUCAGUAGAACUUGGUGACACAUUGGAAGUGAAUUCUGGCUUGGAACAUUAAGGUAUAGGGACAGGUUUUAACUUGAAGGGCUCAAACAUUGGGGAAAGUUUUAGAAGGCAAAUCUCUGUGCUUAUUUUUAGAAAUGAGGCAUUGGGUCAGGCAGUUAUUUUCCUGGGUUUAUGGUUCAUAGAGAGGGCAGACAGCAGGAUAUACAGAUUUAAGUGUCAUCACCAUUUAAUUCCUCUUGCGAGAUUCAUGAGUAUACUAUAAUUUCCUUGAAUUGGAAAUUGAAGUAAGUUUCUUUCAACCACAUUUUUAGAAAUUAUGCUCUUGUAGGAAAAAUUUCACUGUAUAUGUUAGUAUCUUAUUGCAUGAACUAUUCUGAUUACUCAAGCCUCCCUGCUCAAGGGCAGAAACUGGUAAUUAUUUUACAUAGAGAUAACUUAAAAAUAUGUAGCAGAUUGUUUUGUGUUCACAAGUAUUUAAAUUUGUUCAAUAUGUGAUUUAUGAACUGUGAUCAGUUUGUUGAAUUGUGAUUUCUGUAGCUGCAUUUUAAUUGUUCCCCAGAAUGGGUAGCUCAGAGCAUUAUGCUAAGGGCAGAAUCAAAUGUAGUUUACUGUUGGUUUUUAUCAUCCAAUCCCAGGCAUACUUGCAAGUAAGCUAAUGUGUGUUGAGCAUAUUUCUAUAUUCGUCCCUUUAUUGCUCUCUUACUUCUCAUUGUCCCUCACCCUAGUGGUUCCUGGUGCUCAUAUGCUGUAUAUGCACCCUUCAGAUGCCUCCACAGGAUGACAGGAGAAGGACCUGAGCAUAUGGCCCCAUGAUUAGCAGUGCUGGUGUGCCCAUUCUUUGGAAUAUAUUGAUAUACCUAUAGUUCGUGUGUGUGAGAGAAUAUAUAUGUAUAUAUGCUAGAUAUAGAAUAUAUGUCAUAUACACACGUAUGUACACACAUAUGUACAUGUUACACACUUAUAUGUACGUGUGUAUAUGUAUGUGCAUAUCAUAUACAUACAUAUAUAUCUAGUAUAUAUACAUUGAUAUGCAUAUAUCUAUAGUGGGUGUGUAUAUAUAUACACAUUAUAUAUAUACACACACACUAUAUAUAUAUAUCUACAUAUCAGUAUUACUUUGAUAUCUUACUACAACAUCCAAUUAGAACAACUUAUUUUUAAAAUUUUUUAUCAAGUUCUACACUUGAGUGCUUUGGUAAUGAGCGAAAAUAAUUACCCUGAUUUUUUAAACCCUUGAGUCAGAAGCCUCUGUAGGACAAACUUAAAUAUUUAGACUUUCCAAGGAUUUUCAGUAGCACAGGGGAGAUAAAGCACCUAUCUCUCUUUCAGUGAAGAGAAGAAAAUAAAUGUUUCUACCCUUUCAGAUUUUACUGGAAUGUUAUUAUAAACUAAAAAGUAGGUCAGCAAGACUGAGUUGUUUUAUUAAGAACAGCAGUACAAAUAUCAUCUGAAGAAGAUGACUGUACAAUUGCCUAUUAUUAAAACAAAGGUAGGGAAAAUUGUUAGUGAUUCAUUCCCUAAGCUGUUCCAGUCCUUAAGUAUGAUGCUAAUUAUCCUGGGUAUUAAUUUGAUUUCUACUUUUUUAGCUGAUCUCCUUUAUCUCAGUGAUAACAUUUUUAUAAUUAUAAUUUUGUAAAUAACCAGUAAGCCCAUUUUUAAAGCUCUGCUUAGUCAAAUCAGUUAUUAGUUGUGUAGUGAAAAGAUUUUCAAAACAUUCUCCAGAGUUGGUUGAUCAAUCCCUUAUUUUUUAAGAAGACGAGUUAGAAGUGCCUCAAUUAUGAAAUUGGCUCUAAGAGAGUCAAAUUUGGAAAUCUAAGCUUUUAGAAACAUAUUUUUGACUGAAACAUGUAUACAUAUACUUGUAAUAAUAAAGUUAAAAUGGGGUAAAUGUUACCUUUAUCUUAAAUUUAACAUCAAGAAUUGAUCUAAUGAAGAAAUUCAUCCAGAAUUUAAAAUAUUCUUCUAUAAAACAAUAGGGCAUACUUACAGCCCUUUAAUAUACAAAUCAUCAGAAGUCUCUAAAUAAUAGAGAAAUCAAUGUCUACUUCAUGCAGCACAACAGCAAAACAGAGCUGCUCCCUUAUUACAAACAGUACAUAAUAGUUUAAUUUUCAUGGGACUAGUAACGCAUUUGUUAUAUCGUGGUUUUUAGUGAGGAAUAUUGUAUAUGUCUUCAGUUAAAAAUAUAUUCUCAGCUUGGACAGGUGGUACUUAAAGAGUCUGGAGUGAGAAAUGGUUUGGCAGGAUAACAAGGCAUAUUACAAGUGCCUGCCUUGAAAGGUAAGAAAGAGAGUUAGACAUUUUCCAUUACUACCUACUGUUAAGGUGCUCGCAUUAUCCCCUAAACAACCUCAUGCUUGUGGCAAUAAUCAUGCACUGUCGGUUUUUUGUACUAAUAUGAAAGUGCGGUUCAAUCUUUUUGACAAAUACUGCAUCAUUUCUGGCUUGGUGAAUUUUUGUCACUCAAACCUAGUUGAUGUGUAAGUAGGUUGUGACAUGCUGGCUGAAAUGACUUUGGAUCCACUGUAUUGAAGAAAGUAAAAUUUUACUUGAAGUGUUUCUUCUUUCCAUUUCUCACUCUUCUCUCUACUCCACCUAGACCUCACUCCUUCCCUGAGUUUAGAUUCAUCCUACUUCCUUUGUAAGGUACAUCAUUAUACAUUAUAUGGGAGAAUUAUCUUAUAGUGAAACUGAAGGAAGCUUUUCAUGGAAAUGUGUAAUUCGUUUAUUAUUUUCUAAACUGUGUAUUUGCACGUGUAUCCAUAUGCAUCACUGCACAAUCUAAGUGUUAACAGUUUUUUUUUUUUUGCUUUCUUACUAGGGCUUAUGUCUAAAAAUGCUAGUUUGCAAUAUCUAUAACACUAGCAUUUUAAAGUCAUUCAUAAUCUGUCAAUUGAUAUGAAAUAUAAACAUUCUGCCUUUUUACUUUCAUUAUUUUAGUGAUAAAUUUUGUACUGCUUAAAUGUUCUCUGCAAGUCUGUGUGGUUUGGAAGGAAUUGUCGUUUUAAUUUCUUCUUCUUUAGUGACAACAUGUGCAUCUAUUAUGGAAAAAAAUGAAAGGUAACAACAGUUGUUAAUUUAAGAGAUGACCAUGAAUUCUCAGUGCUAGCUCCCAAGGUGGCACUCCUAAGAAAGAGGUCAUUUCUCAAGUAAAUAAUAUGCCAGGUAAGAUCUGUUUGCAUUUUAAAUAAAGUGAUUGAUUUAGGAAAUAUUACCUUUAGAAAGUGCAAGUUCAAAUGAAUAGUUUUCUUUAACCCCCCAAAUAAGAUUAUAAAGGAAUUACCCAUGUCAUGAGUUUUUUGUUGUUCUUGUUGUUUUAAUCAUUGUCUCCUAGUAAAGUAGGCUUUGCUGAGUAAAAACAUAGAAAUAGACUUAUCUAUUGAUGGAUAAGUAUAAUGGAUAGGUAUAAAUUAAGCGUAGAUGUAGAGACAAAGAUGUAGCUAUCUUCCCUGUCACUUAUUUGUGGCCUGCAGGGGAGUUUUAACUCAUCCCCAACACUCGGGCUCCCACAGGCAGUAUUCAGGAUCUGCCUUGGUCUGUUUUGUGGUGUUUGUUUCAUGAAGUUUCUUAUUAGGCUUUGUGUUAUUCAAAAUUAAAAUUUUACAUACGAUAGUCCAACUAAUAAUUUAGGAAAUCAUAUUGCCAUUAUUAAAACUUGCUCACAGUCUAAUUUAAAUAAAAUCUGAGUAAAAACAAAAGGAAGAUGCCUACUAUAAUUUGAAGAUAUUCAUUCACUAACGUUUCAACAUUUAUUUUGUCACCAUUAAUUUAUUUUGUUUUUCAAAUAAAAAGUAAACUGUAUUAUCCCAUAUAGUUCUGGAAAGUGCCUGGUGUUUAUCAUAAAAUUAUAUAUAUUAUUUGUCUCCAUUGUAAUAGUGGCCUUAAAAUAAUACACACACACACACACACACACACACACACACACACAUUAAAAAAAUAACAUAUUUAAGUGGGAAUUGGAAAGAAAUGCUUAACAAUAACAAGAUGGUUUUAUAAAUUAUGUUAUGUCUAUGUAUUAAGCAUUUUUUAGCCAUUAAAGUUAUUUGUGUAACGUCUUAAUCCAAUAAUGAACAUAAUACAAUGUUAAAUGAGAGAAUCAAGGUAUGAUGAAAUAACAAUAAAAAAUACCCUAUGUGAUACUUGUGGAGAUCAGGAAAUAAUUGUAUGGGUAAUUUUCUCAUCUAUUAACUUUAUUUCAAGUCAUUUCAUUGGUAAAAAUAAAUACUUUUAAAAGAGAAAAUUUACCAGAAAGAAAAUAAAGAGAUUGAUCUAUAGCAAUAAGCAUGAAUUUAACUAACACAUGGCUUACUUAAGCUUCUUUGUUUUUUUUCUUUUAAAAAUAGGUUUUUCUAACUUAGGCUUGGGUCUGUUUAUUUUUUAUUGUAUAUGUUAAAAUAUACAAUGUGUUUUGACAUACAUGUAGAUGCUGAAAUAAUUACUAUAGUUAAACAAAUUUACAUAUAGCUCACCUUCCAUAGUUAUCCUUUUGUAGGGUGUCAGAGCACCUGAAAUCUACUCUUUUUGCAGUGCUUUCAGUUUACAAUAGGAUAUUAUUAACUAUAGUCUUCAUGCUGUACAUUUUUGUCUGUCUACUUAAUGUUCCUAACCUGACUGCAAAUGUAUAGCCUGUAACCGAUUCUCCAGAUAUUCUCCCCCUCCCUGCUCUCUGUUUCUCAUUUGACUUCAAGAAAAAAAGAUUCCACAUUUAAGUGAGGUCACAGUAUUUUCUGCCUGUGUCUGGCUUAUUUCACUUAGCAUAGUGUCCUCCAGGUUUACCCACGAUGUCACAAAUGUCAGGAUUGCCUUUUUUAGGGAAGAAUUAUGUAGAUAUAUGUCACAAUUUCUUUAUCCAUUUAUCCACUGAUGGGCAUUUAGCUUGUUUUCAUAUCUUGGCUAUUGUGAAUAAUGCUGUAGUGCAGCGGUCCCCAACCUUAUUGGCACCAGGGACCAGUUUCAUGGAAGACAGUAUUUCCAUGGACUGAGGAGGUGGCAGGGGAUGGUUUCAGGGUGCAACGCUGCUACCUCAGAUCAUCAGGCAUUAGUUAGAUUCUCAUAAGGAGCACACAACCUAUUUAAAACAUUAUGCACAGUUCACAAUAGGGUUUACGCUCCCAUGAGAAUCUAAUGCCGCCACUUAUAUGGCAGGAGGUGGUGCUCGGGUGGUGAUUCUCCCUUGCCUUCCGCUCACCUCCUGCUGUGCAACCCAGUUUCUAACAGGCUGUGGACCAGUACCAGUGUGUCACUAGGGGUUUGGGGACCUCUGCUGUAGUGAACAUGGGAGUACAGAUAUCUCCACAAGGUGCCAAUUGCUGAGUCAUAUGAUAGUUAUCCUUUUCAUUUUUUGUAGCACCUCAAUGCUGUUUUUAUAAUGGUUGUUCAACUUUCAUUUCCACCUGCAAAAGAGAACAAGGGUUCCUUUUCUCUACCACCUCACCAACACUUAGGGCUGUUUAUAUUUUGAGCAAAGUCCUUUUUCACUUUCAUUUCAAUCAAAAUGCAAGAAAGAAUUAAAUUGAGCUGCCGCUUAUUUGGGAGAUGUCACAAGAUUUACUUCCUAAGAGUUUGUGAGAAGAACACAUUUUCUGGCAUUUGCUGUUGAUCCAGAAGCAUUUUCAUUGCAGUGACUUUGUUUGGAGAUUUUAACUUCUAAGUACUACUCUUAUUUUGCUCUGCUUUUAGGAUAAUGUUUUAAAUAAGAUUUUUAAAGUUUCUCAAAACUGAAAACAUUUUACCUCAGAGUAGAACUCAGUUAAAUUUUUAUUUAAAAGUAGGUUUUUGGUAACAGUAAAUGUUUUGACAAGUUUUUACUUAAUGGUUAAUAAAAUGCUACUAGGUCAGGUGCAGGAAGUAAAAUUAGUCCUAAAUUGAAUUUGAGGAAGGCAUGUAAGUAGAAGUAAUAUUAAGAAGGUGAAUCAUCAGUUGUAUGAUAGAACUGUUACUAAUAAAUACAACAUGUGGUAAUUGCAAGAAUUAAGUUCAUGAAAUGUCUAUUCAACUUUACAAUCUUGCCCUACUAGAGUAUUUAGUCAUAGGGAACCUUACUGUGGUUGGACUCUGCCUGGCAAUGCAGUUUAACUUAAAAUUAUCUAGGAAUUAUUUUUAUAGGAAAUUUUGCUAAAAUCCACCUAGUUAUAUGAAGUAUAUUACUCUUGAGUAGCAACCAAGUAACUCAAACUGUAAUUUAACCCUGUUAAUGGAGGGAAGUAAUAUGGAAAUACUAAAAUUGACAUUUUACAAAGUUGAUCCCAGUAUAUCUCAGAUGAAAAAAACUAGAAUAAUAUAUAAGAAAACAAUUUUAUACAUUCCUUUUGUUCAAUUUAGAAAUAAGUCAUUACAGAUAUCUUGCAUGGCAAAUAUUAAUGCAAUUAACUUUUUUAACUUCUGAGAUUAUUUUUAAUUUAAACUUGUAUGUUUAAGAUUUAUUUUGUUUGUUUAGAGUGCUUGCCAGCAAACGCUGUGUUAAUGUAAUCUUAACUAUUAAAAUUGGAUUUUUUUUCUGGCUGUGUACAUAUUUCUGUCAUUUUGCUUUCUCAUCAACCAGUUAAAAUAUUUUUUUUUCUGUUCAUGUGAGUUUUUCAUUUAUAUUUAUGUAUAAGGCACAGCACAGGCUGUGUUUCAAGUAAAAUAUUGGACUGAUUUUGAGGGAGUUUUUUUUGUUUCUAUCAUUUUUAGUCUUUUUGAGGAAGUUGAAUAUUUUUCCAGAAGUGCUAUACUUUAUUCCUAGUACUUUCCAGAUGAUAUUGAUAACUCCAGGAACACUAGGAAACAGAAAACGUAAUAUCAAUGUUAAUUUUAUAGAAUAUAAAAUGUUAUUCAACUGGCCUUUAUUUUAUUUACAUAUUUACAUAGGGAUAUAUGUGUAAUUUACAUCAUUCCUAAUUUCAAGAAUAAUUCUAAGUUAUUUACUAAAGCACAAAAAGAUUUAACAGAAGAAUACUAAGUUGAUAAGUAAUUUUGGGAAAAAUAGUGAUACUAAAGGUAAAAUAAAUGAACUUGGGGGAUAAUGAGAGUAAACAAAAAUUUAUGUUUAUAGAGUUUUGUUACUAGAGGAGAGUCUUAUGUUAUUAGAAGACACCAUAGAUUUGAUGCUAAAUGUACUAGUAAUAAAAGCAAAAUCUGUAUCAAUUACUACAGUAUUUAUUAUUUAUAAUAUAGCAGCUAAUGCUUACCAGCCACUCAUAACAUUCUAAAAACUUUGUCCAGCAUUUGAUACGAUUAUCUUAUUUAAUUAUUGCAAUGACCCUGAGGAGUCCUGAUGUUGUUAUAUUUUACAUUUGCAGAAACAGAAUCUCAAAGAAGUUAAGUGCCUUUCCUGAGAUCACACAGCUAUUAGCUGGUUGAGCUGGGAAGUCUGAGUCCAAAAUCUAUGCUCUUAUUCACAGAAUAAACAUUUUUAAGGGGAUAAAAUAUUAAUAAAUCAGAAAAGCAUACCUUGUCUUAAUUCUAAAGAUAAGAAAAAAAAAUUUUCUGUUGGGAUUAUGCUUGGUUCAAGGAUAAAGUGGAGCCUAUCUAGGGGAAUGUCCGUAAUGCAUAACCUUCAGGCAAUCCUUGUGAAUAUCUCUUUGCUCUUUGUUGUUACCAAAUUAUUUUGUCUUAAGGCUAUGAGAAAAUUGACUUUCUAAAAGCUGUGUCUCCGAUGAACAGUUAAUACUAAAGCCAAGGGGAAGACGUACUGGUCAGAAUUAUAGUAACUUUAUCCUUACAUAUAUCUAGAAGAAAUACUCUUGUAACUGAGAGCUAAAUCUAGAAAUUCUUCUGUCAUGCAGAAUUUUGAUAAAUGUCCAAUGCUAUUUUUAGUUUUAAAUGUUUUUUACGUAUAUGUUUUAUUUUUGUAUCAUCUUUCACUUAACUAUUGAACUACAGUUGUUCUGUGAUAUAAACUCUUACAAACAAUAUAGAUUUGGCUUUAGUUUCAUUAAUUUUUCAUAAAUGCUUGAGUAUUCAUAGUACCUUAUGAAUUUAUGAUAAAUUUAUUACAGAUUUAUUCAGGCAGAGACAUAUUUGAAAAUUUGUAAUGAGGAAAAAAAAUCAUCUUAUGAACAGCUCCAUAAUUUUACUUUCCUAAUUGUGUGUACCUUUUGGGUCUAUUUUAUAUUUAUUUAAGUUUAUAUUGGUAUUUAUAUAUUCAUAUAAAUACUUAUUACAUAUUUAUAUAGGAAUAAUGCGAAGCCAUGGUUAACUUCAUAAUCCAGGGAUGCAGGCUUACCAAAAGACUGAGACCUCAUCAUAGGAUAGAAUGAUUUUCCUUCUCACAAUAUAAAAAGUAAAGAAAAAUAAAUUAACCAAAACCUCUCUCAUGCAAAAAGAAAACAUUAUUAACUUUUGGUGAAAUUCAGACAUCUCUUCCUGUGUGCAUACUGUAUGUAAAGAGGAAAAAGGGGAAGAAUUAAUGGUUGGAUAAAAUAAAUGUACACAAUAUACUUUAUAUGUAUUACUUCCUAAUAAAAAUUAUUUCUUUUUUAUAUAACAAAAUUGGAAACUAAGGUAAAACUGAAAUAAUUACUGUUGAUUAGGGAAAACUUUCCCAUCACAUGUGUUUCUGUCAUUUCUUUUGUUUCUCCCUUGAUUUAGGUUUUUUUUAAUGCGGUAGGCCAAAGUCUUAGGUGAUUUGAUAUUAGUUUUAGCAUAAUUUGCACACAUAGAAUUCACAGAAGAUAUAAUUUCAUGCAAACAUGUAAACUUUCAACUGUAAAAUUUGUAUGAAGGACUGUUAUGUUUGCUAUGAUAUGGGGAGACCAUUUAGUCAAUGAGGUCUUUGUACUUCCAUUGUGAUAAUUUAGAUAGCUUUUAUUUUCUGAAAUGUGUUUGAAAAUGUGGAAAAUAUUUUAAUAUUUCCCUGGUUUUUUUGGCUUUCAUGCUAAUAUAUACAUACAUUCUAAUGUAUAUUAUAUUCCAUAUAAUGUAUAUUUUCUGCCAUUUUUCAAGUGUUCUUUUCCCCUGGCCUUUCUUCUACCCUCCAAUAAUUUAUUAAAUGUUUUUAAUCUCCCCCCCCAGCCUGUAAUUUAGUUUUGUGCAUUUUAAAGCAGUAUUGGUUAUAUGCACUUCAGCAAACCAGUUUAUGCCAGCUAAAGAUUGAAAAGGAGAAAUUAAUUUAAGAUUUAGUUCUGUGUUUUUUAAAACCUUUUUAAAGAUGAAGAUAUUGAUCUUGUAUUACUAGUAUUGAAGCAAACUCAUAUUGUUUAGUUCCUUAUCAUAAGUUAGAGGCGUUGGAGGGUUAAAGUUUUACCAAAGUAAAUCAUAAUAGAACUGGACAAUUUAAUAGUGAUGUCAUAUACAAAAGCUCAAUUAAUAAUCCUAUACAACCAGUAGGUGAAGAUUUUAUUUUAUUAAUAAAGCAUCUGAAAAUGAGCCUAGGGUCAUAACUUUUAAGAACUAGGAUUAUAGGGUCAUGCUUUAUUCAUGAAUAGUAGACAUGCUUUCUCUAUAGUGAGCUAAGCUAUACUUCUGAACUUGAAUGAUUGUCUCAGUGUUACCUUUAUCUCAGAUUCAUCAUUCAUAUUCCUUUUGAAAUAUCUUUAUCUUGGUAUAGAUAUUUAUGUGUAAACACAAUAGUUGCUAUGUAAUAGUUUCUGUUUAGCCAUUAAUUGGAGAUACGUAAUUAGAGUUGGUGCUGGGGUAUCUUCUAGAAGAAAAUGAGAAGGAGUGAGGGAUUUGGGUGUGUCAAAGGAAGAUAAUGGAGAGGACUUGAAAGAAUUCUUCUAAAAUGAGAAUUCUUACUAUGCAUGUCCAUGAAUUGUAUUUAGGCCAUAGGAGAACUUGUACAAGAAAAUAAAAUAUGUCCCACUUCACUACUCUCUAAUUUAGCAUUUCCUUUAAUUGCAAAUAGUCCACAAACUACAAUAGUGUUAGUAGCAACAAUGACUUCAUCUCCAACAAACAUUGCAGAUAUUCUUAUAUCACAUUACAGAUGUUUCAGAUAGCUUGGAAUAUGAUUUAUUGUUCACUACUUUGAAAUUACAAUAUUUAUUAGACUUCCCUCUAUUAAAUGCGUUGGUAAAGUAAUAUAGUUAUGUAUUAUAGUUUCUGUUGGAAUUCUCUGCAUUUUAUUUUAAGCAUUUUUUAACCUUAUUCUCACAAACGGACUAAGCUUCAGUAGACUGCCAAAGGGAUCCAUAGCAUAAAAAAUAUAAAACCCUAGCUCUAAGAAGUAAGCUAAUUCAGCUUUUUAUUAACCUUUAUUCUAUUCCAAAUGUGAUAACAUUUCUCCAUUUUAUCUGCCACCAUGCAUAAAGUUAUAAGGGAAAUUGCAAAAUAUUUUUCUACCAAGCUACCUAUUUUAUAUUCAGAUUAUUUUAGUAUUAAGUUCAUCUUGUAACAUGUUUUAGGCUUUGGAAGAUUAGCCUUAAUGUUUUUAUUUGUCAAUAUAAAUUUAUAUUAAAAUACAUAUUAUUAAUACUUAUUUCUAACAUAUUAUUUAUUAUUUUCAGUGCACUGUGCUAAGGAUUCACCUCCAUUAUUGCAUUCAAUUCAGCAACCUCAUGAGCUUAGGUUUAAUCAUGCAUUUGUAUUUUUAUAGAAUAAAUCUACCCAAGAGAAUGGGGAAAAUGAAAAAUUGUUAACUAAUUUAAGCCCAUCCCAGUCCAAAACCAGUCGAAACAUCUCAAUGAAGUAAAGGUAGAAUGAUAACUGCAUUUACAAAUAUUUCUUGGUAGGAAAAAAGUAUUUUAUUCUAAUAAAUAGAAACAUGUUAAGCAUAAUGUUAUUCAUAUUAAUAAUGAAUAUUAAACAUUAACAUUAAGUAUUAUAUAUAAAACAUUAACAUAUUAAACAUAAAUAAGUAGAAAGUUAGGUUUCAUUUUGAUCUUAAUAAUUUAAGAGUAACAACUGGCACAGUGUUCAAAUAAGUAGCACCUAGAAUUGUGCUAAUCACAUAGAAAAACAGAAAACCCGAAGGCACAAAAGCCUAUCAGUGUUGAUGUCCACAUUGCUGUUUUCCAAGUAUUUGACUACCGUCUCUGAGCAAGAUUCUCUACAGAUCUUAUCAAUAUUUGUAGCUUCCUGCAAUUUGUUUUACUACUCAAAGUUUACGAUUAAUGGACCUCUCCCUAAUAGAUUUAACUAAGUAUGUCUGCUCUUUCUUUCAUUAAUUGAGCACAUGAAGUAUGUGACUCAUUCUUAAGUUGAAAUACUGCCUUCAGCAAGGAUUUGACAAUCAAUUCAAUCAAUUAUUUCUAAAUAUAUUUGGAUUUAUUGCUUUCAUCUCAGGCUCUUUCUGUAUAUAUGAAAAGUGUUAAGACAGUUUUAAGGAGUGCAUGAGCUAUACCCACAUUCUGGCUUUCCCAACACAUGCAGACAUGGGAAGGCCCAAAAAGAGGUCAGUGUCCUCUCAUUUUCUCUUUCAUGCACAAAUGUAUAAACACACGCAAAGACACAGAGGACAAAACAAGAUAAAAUGGAGUAAAUUUAGAUUUUAAAAAAUGUAAGAUUCAGUUCACUGGUAGCUGUAUUAUAUAUCAUACAUUUUUAGCAACACAUGUAAGAUUUAUGUCUUGAAUAAUAUAAAAAAAGGUUCAUCUGCUUGUAAAAUGUAAGUCUUAUAGUUCAACAUAAUAGAUAAACAUCAAAACUAGUAUCCUCAUUAGGUUGUAUAAUGGUAUAUUGCCACUUACUGUUAUUUAAAUGUCAUCCCCAUUUCCUUUUUGUAGUGCUGAUGUUAACCUUGUAAGCUCUAAAUUGUCUGGAAGUUAAUGGUCUGUUAUAUGAGUUUCAUAGUUCUUAGUGAAAGAAUAUUAGAUUAUAUUAUGCAGUUUGAAAUGUAACUUGAUCUCUACCUCAUAAUCAUAAGUAAUGACAUAGUCUUGGUUGAAAUUAGGGACGUUUGCUUUUUCUGCUGAUGCUGUCCAUAGUAUAAAUGAUAAUUUUUAUUUUUUUGUUUUAAAUUGACAAAUAUGUUUAUUUGUCCAUUCAUUACACCCAAGUUUAUGAGGGUUAGAAAAGAGAACAAAUAUAAGCAUAUAAGAGUACAGUGUACUUCUUGAAAAUCAAACUUUGAAAUUUAUCUUAUUAAAGUUGGUAAAUUCAGAAGCAUUAUAUUCUGUCAGCACCCACAUAUACCCUUGUCUGGCUUUGAGAGAGUUUUAUUUUUUUAAUUUUAUAAGAGUUAAAUUUGAAUUGGAGCUAAUGUAACUGACAAGAGGGAAAUAGAAGCAAUUGGCUUGCACUAAACAAGUUUGAAUGGUUGUUAAUGUGAAUGACUUUCAGGCAGUGAAUGUCAGAGAACAGUAGAUUACUUUCUUUACCUCGGGCAUUUUAAACCAUCUCCUGUGGUAGGAUUAACAUAAUUUCUCUCUCUCUUUCUUGAAUCUAGGAAGCAAAGUAAUUGGAGUCUGGUAAUUUUGGCCUGUGGGUGAUGAAGAUAAAUCAUAACAAGCUAUGGAAUACACAUUGACAAUUCACAUAGGGCUACUAGAACAUGAACUUUCAGUAAUGCAUUAAACAAAUAUUGUUUCUUUCUGAUUUAUAUUCAAGAAAGCCACAGAACUGUUAAUUAUGAAUGCAGUUAUCGUUUGUUAUUUUUGACUAAAUUCACAUGCAAAACAAAUUGUUUCAAAAUAUAAGCUAUUGUGUUCUUAAACAUGGGCUAAGAAGUUGUAUCUUUUAUAUGAUUUUGAGUGAUCAUAUUUGUUUAACCGAAAUUAUUUGAGAUUUUAAAAGAAUAGAGGUGGAAGAGAAUACAAGACCAUCUGGUCUAGCCCCUCUCCUUAAGGCUUAUAAAUGUAUACAUCAUCUUGAGCAGAUGGAGGUGUACUCACCUAAAAUUUUAUACAAAUAUAGGUUCUACAGUUCCAUUCAAUAUCUUAUUCUUGAAUUUGGUCACUAAAGCAUUAAAGGAUCCUAUUUUAUAUUCAGAUUAUUUUAGUAUUAAGUUCAUCUUGUAACAUGUUUUAGGCUUUGGAAGAUUAGCCUUAAUGUUUUUAUUUGUCAAUAUAAAUUUAUAUUAAAAUACAUAUUAUUAAUACUUAUUUCUAACAUAUUAUUUAUUAUUUGCAGUGCACUGUGCUAAGGAUUCACCUCCAUUAUUACAUUCAAUUUAGCAACCUCAUGAGCUUAGGUUUUGUUGUCUCCAUUACAGAUUUAGGAAAGCAAGAGUAAGGAAAGUUAAGUAAUGUGGCCAAGCACAUGGCUAAUGAAAAGAGUUGCUAUAACUUAAAUUUCUGGACUAAACUUUUUCCUACUGAUCUACCUCCUCAGUGUUAAGAGUGCAAACUCCUUCUCUCUUAGGGCAAAAUUUCUGUCACUUUGUUGUUCAUCCACUUUGUAUCAUCUUAUAGUCCUCUUUUCUCAGCUAAUGGGAGUAUAUCUCGUGUUUUUGAAACUUUUGUUCAUUAUCAUCCAUACCAGCCAUUUUAGAAUUUGUUUCCUAAUGUCUUCUGAUGAAAUUUUUAAUACCACAAAUAUGCUGUGUAUCUGUUUAUGUAUGUGUAUAAAAAGAGUAGUAUUUUUUGUCCCCUCUAAGAAUCAGUUUCCCCCUUGGUACUGAUAUUGCUCCCUUUUAGAAUGAAUGUAGUUAUCACUAUUACUGUACAUUUUUGAUUGCAUAAGUACAUAAUUAUUUUUACUUAAUAUGAAAUGUUAAUUUGUUAGAGUAUGAAAAUAUUAAAAUAUCAACAGUAAUUGUCCUCUUUUUAAGUUACGUGAGCUUUCCAAUGCCCUGAAAUGAGAAUAAUUUUGAAGAAGAAUAUAGAUAUCAAGAUAUAAAUGAAGUUUAAUUCUUUUAUAACAAUAUGUAAUUUGUGCUACUAAAGAAACCUCAGGAUGUAAGUAAACAUAAUCCUGCCCAUUUUACCUGUUUUUAGACCUUUUGCUAAAUUUUUUGUUUAUCCAAAUAUAUGCCAUCUUACCAUAAAUCUGUAUUCCUCUCUGUUUUGACAUCACAAUCUAUUGCCAUGGAAGUGAUUGAUAGCUUACAUUUAUCUUCAUGUCUUCAGAGCAGGUUCAUAAGGAGACUGUCUGGAAGAAAUAGACUUUAUUGGUACCAGCACAAGCAGACUUUUAGAGGUCCUGUACAAGUUUACGUCCAUCUGUAUUUUUUUUUUAAAUACAAGAGUUGCAAAUUGGUACUUUAGAAAGUGUGAAGACUUUGCUUUUCAUUCUGUAAUUUCCAUUCAAAAACCAUAUUUGAUUAUGAUUCUUUCUAAAAUAUUCAAAUAAUGGGUUUUCCACAACUUUCAUACUUUAAAUAUAAAAUGAGCUUACAACCCGUGAGUAGGAAACUGUGGUAAUGGAACAUAUUCAGCUUUAUCAUGUUAUGCAGAAAUACAGCAGUUAGGAAUGAAACCUCAUUGAUAGGUUCUUUUACUGGGAAAUAAACCAGAAGGUGAUGAAAAUCACUUGGCAUUUUUAUAUGUAGUUUGUAGAAAGUUCCUAGUCUGGGGCUUUGAUCUACUUCAUUGGAUCAAAAACAUAAUAAAUUGAAUCUUGAAACUUGCUAUAUCCUUUUGGAAUUACACCUAAUAUUGAAUUAUUCAUGUAGAUGAAACUGAUCAUUUAGGUUUCAGAAUUUCUUUUUUUCUGUAAUGGUUCCAGUUCUUUUUUGCAUGAAGUUUUUUGUUGUUGUUGUUUUAUACUGAAUUUUACAACCCUUCAGAUAUAAAAGAGGCAUUUCUGUACUGUCUCUUGUCACUCAAAACUAAUUUUGAUUUCAUUGACUACCCCAUAUAUGUUCAGAAACUAAAAUAAUUUCAAUAUAGUCAAUUAAUUAAGUGAAGGAUUUUUGACCCCUACAAUGAUUUUGAUCUGUAUUAGUCUUGAGGAGGUAAGAACUUCAAAAAUUAUUACCUGUGAGGGAGCCCAUGACAACCAUCACAUUUUCAUGUACAUACAGAAAAGAAUGAUACUGUAUAUAGGAGUAAAGUAGAGGAAUUAAACAAGCUUCCUAUUCAAAUGAAGAUUUUUUAAAAAGCUAUAACUAUUAACUGUUUGAUGAAGGUUUUGAAAGGAAACGUGAAGUGGCCACUGUGCAGAUAUGGUUUGAGUGACUUAACGGGUCAAGUAUUUGACAACAGUAAUGCUUCCUGUGGUUUUUAUAUGAAGGAAAAAAUGAAAAAUAGGAAACAGAAACCAGAAGUUUAUGUAAACCUACAUAAAUUAACUCUUAAAUGAUUUAUUUUAUUUUGAAGUGUCUGUGUAUUGUGGAUGAACCAAACGUUCAGACUUUCUUCCAGUGCUCUUGGCCCUCCUCUAUUAAAUGUGUGUCUUGUUCCCUUUCCAGCGUACAUACAGCUCAGUCAGUAGGAACUAGACAGAGAAGCUGUUCACUUAAAAAGUUGUCAUUUCCUUAUAGAUACUUUCUUUUCUUUAUUAUUAUACUUUAAGUUCUAGGGUACAUGUGCACAACGCGCAGGUUUGUUACAUAUGUAUACAUGUGCCAUGUUGGUGUUCUGCACCCAUUAACUCAUCAUUUACAUUAGGUAUUUCUCCUAAUGCCUUCACUCCCCCCUGCCCCCACCCCACGACAGGCCCCAGUGUGUGAUGUUCCUCUCCCUGUGUCCAAGUGUUCUCAUUGUUCGAUUCCCACCUAUGAGUGAGAACUUGCAGCGUUUGGUUUUCUGUCCUUGUGAUGUAGAAAGCUGAAACUGGAUCCCUUCCUUACACCUUAUACAAAAAUUAAUUCAAGAUGGAUUAAAGACUUAAAUGUUAGACCUAAAACCAUAAAAACCCUAGGAGAAAACCUAGGCAAUACCAUUCAGGACAUAGGCAUGGGCAAGGACUUCAUGUCUAAAACACCAAAAGCAAUGGCAACAAAAGCCAAAAUUGACAAAUGGGAUCUAAUUAAACUAAAGAGCUUCUGCACAGCUAAAGAAACUACCAUCAAAGUGAACAGGCAACCCACAGAAUGGGAGAAAAUUUUUGCAAUCUACCCAUCUGACAAAGGGCUAAUAUCCAGAAUCUACAAAGAACUUAAACAGAUUUACAAGAAAAAAUCAACCCCAUCAAAAAGUGGGUGAAGGAUAUGAACAGACGCUUCUCAAAAGAAGACAUUUAUGCAGCCAGUAGACACAUGAAAAAAUGUUCAUCAUCACUGGCCAUCAGAGAAAUGCAAAUCAAAACCAAAAUGAGAUACCAUCUCACACCAGUUAGAAUGGCAAUCCUUAUAGAUACUUUAAAUAUUAUUUUUCUUGAGUAUUUAUAUUUAAUGCAACUGGAAAAGAAAUAAACUUAGAAAUUUAAAUGACUGUGGAAUGUUUUUAACCAUUCACAAGCUGUAUAAUAAUCCAUAAUAAUCCAAAACAAAUAUCAAGUCACUUUAGUUUUAGAGAAAUGUUAUUCUUUAUAGGUUUGUGGUUUAUUUAGUCAACUGUGAUGUGCUUCAUAAUACUGAUAUAAAUAUAUGUUUAAAAAGAUAGUUAAAAAUAAUCUCAUGUAUAUGUUUUAAGAAAUGAGAUAAUCCUGAGAGUCUUAAAGUAUCUUUCCCAUUUAAGAAAAAAGUAGAAGCAAGUAUUAAAAGGAUGCAGUAGUGUUGAAAGACAGUUUAUGAAAAAUCAAUAGCCUAUGCUCAGACAUGAAAGCUUAUUAAUUCUCUAGUGGAGUCUGGAACAACUUCCUGUGAUCAGACACAUUAGUCUCCCUGAAGCAAAAGCAAGAGGGAUUAUUAAAUACUAUAAACUGCCUCAUCAUAGUUCAGAAUUUGAAUAAACUUUUGGUUUUCAGAGCUUUUAUUCCUGAUGUUGGACAAAUCAUGAUGGAUCUGUAGUAAUUCAUUUGCAUUCUUACGAUAAGUUAUUAUUAUACCCAUUUUAAAGGCAUAGAAACCGAAAGAAAAAGGAGUUGGGUAACUUCUUUUGGGUCACACAGUUAUUAAAAGGACUCAGGCAGUCUGACUUUACAAAUCGUGUUCUUAAACAUGAUGCUAUACUGCCAGUGUGACAGACAUGCAUGUAUAUAUACAUACAGACACAUGUAUAAAUAAGCAUUUAGAACUAUUUAGAAGUGGAUCCCAAAACUUCUAUACAUUUAUAUAAUUGCUUUAAAUAAAGGUUAUUUUCUUAAAUAACGAUUGUAUAUUCCUCUCAUCUUUUUGUUGCCAGUAUGAUAUGGUUUGGCUCUGUGUCCUCACUGAAAUCUCAUUGUGAAUUGUAAUCCCCUCAUGUAGGAGGAAGGGCCUGGUGGGAGUUGAUUGAAUCAUGGGGGUGGACUUCCCCAUUGCUGUUCUUGUGAUAGUAAGUUCUUACAAGAUCUGGUUGCUUGUAAGCACAUGGCACUUCCACCUUCACUGUCUCUCUCUCUCUCUUGCUCCACCAUGGUUAAAUGUGCUUACUUCCCCUUCACCUUCUGCCAUGAUUAUAAGUUUCCUGAGGCCUCCAAGCCAUGCUUCCUGUUAAGCCUAUGCAACUGUGAGUCCAUUAAACCUCUUUCCUUGAUUAAAUUACUGAGUCUCAGGUAGUUCUUUAUAGCAAUGUGAGAAUGGACAAAUACCUAGUAUGUAUUAUGCUUUUUAUUCUCCAGAUUAUUAUCAAAGCUUGUAUUUAGGUGGAUAUUUAAGAAAUUCCAUAUUUUUUGUUUUUAUUUCAGGUCUAAUUUAUAAAAUAUUAGCUUAUAUUGGGAAUUUCAACUUUAUGACAUAUAGUUUAAAGAAUACAUAGAUGACCAAACACAAACACUCAUGGUAAAUCAUGAGAAAAAAAUGUAGUCAAAACUAUAAAAUUUAAGUUGUAAGAAACUUGCAAUAAUUGCUACAUCAGCACAGAACUUACGUUUCUUAAACUUGGUGUUUGUACCCUGGAAUGGAUAGGUGGACAGCAGAAUUAUGUUUACUGGUGUUCACCACAUAAGUUAGGAAUGCUUCCCAAUAUUUUUAUUACUGAUCUUGCACUUUUUAAUUUAUCCAAACUUUUGUGACUCUUUGGAGCAAUGACUGAUACCACAUUUGAACCAGGUAUAUACUAGAGCUUGAAACAUCUCAUAACACUAGAAAAUAAGGAAGGUAUCAAAGCUUACUAAAGUUCUGUCACAAGAAUUGAGGAGCCAGCUUGAAAUCACUACCACUAGCCAGUCUGAGGUAAAAUAAAAAGAUUGAAACAAAGGAAGUAACUGUAAUGGACUGAAUCACAUAAAAUAUAUUUUAAAAUUCUUAAUAUUAGGUUGGUGCAAAAGUAAUUGCAGGUUUUGCCAUUAAUUUCAAUGGCAAAACCUGCAGUUACUUUUACACCAAUCUAUAGAUUAUAAAAUUGAUAUCGCUGAUAAUCUUUGGAUGAUAGUAGGAAACCAACAUAUUCUGAAACCUAUAGGGAAAGAAAUAUUUAACACGCCUUUCCUAAAUUAACCGUAACUCAAGAUAACUAAAUAGCUGAAGAGUGAAGCCUCCCUGUAUUUAUUCCAACUAAUGAAUAAAGACAAAAUGGUAGAAUUAUAAUAUUUCCACUGUGCAAAACUUAAUAAAAUGGAUUUAGGUGAUGAUUUUAAUGGCUGUUAAUAUUCCAAAAAAUGGAGCACUGAAUAUUCUGAGCCUCCUAAUAGAAGUAUACGACACCUACGAAAUAUUUUUGCCAAAAAUAUUCAAGUCUGAAUCUUAUCAAACUUCUAGUAUAACUACCAGUUUACAGGAUAUUCUGGGCACUGAGAGAUGUGUGAAUAAUACUAAGCAAAGAAAUCUAGAAUGUAGGACUUUCUAUUAUAUAAUGUAUAAAUAUUGCUAGGAUGUACUAAUACUCUAGUACUAAUAUUCAGGUUUCUUUAAUCACCCAAGUGCUGUGUGAGAAUGGGAGAGGAGAGAAAGGACUUACAGAUUAAAGAGACUUAAAAGGCUUAUCAACCAAAACACAAUGUGUGGACAUUAUUCAGAUCCAAAUUUGAACAAAUCAACUAAUAUAGUUAAUGAAUCUAGGUACAUGUGGGUUUGUUACAUUCUUCUAUCUACUUUUCUGUAUGUUUAAUAUUUUCCAAAGUAAACAUAAAAAUGGAAUAUAGGUUUGUACCUCUACCUGUAUUUUCAUCUUUCAUCACUAUGUAAGUAACAAAUUAUGAGAAUUUAUAAAAGCUGGAAAUUGGGUUAUCAUUUUCAUUAUUUUUGAAAUUAUCUGUAAUUGCAUUUUAUUUCCUCUUUGAUGAAGUAAUUCCUUAGGCGAGCCAUUAAAAAAAAUCUCCCAUUGGUUUUGACUGUUGUAUUACAUGUGAUCAAAAAUGAGGUAGUGUAAUUUGUGCGUUUUUGAAAAUUUUUAGUCCUCACUAUCCAGGUUAAUGUUGAUUUUUUUGUUGUUGUUUACAAAGAUAUAUAGACUAUUAAAGAAGAAAUUUUUAUCUAAAAUAUGGUAGUUUACCAUCAUUAAACCUUCUUUGUCAUUAUAUUGCUAAAGUCAGCGAGAUCAUUUUAGGUCGCAGUGAUUUUUUUACAGAUACUAAUGGCUGACACCAAUAAAACUGAAUUUUGCUCAAUUUUUUUCCUAAUUUUUUUGCUAUUGCCAUUCUGAUGCUAUAUGCUUCAGUAGAGAUUCAUAUUUGUUAUGCCUUCAUUAUGAAUUGGAUUUUCUCUUUUGUCAAUAUACAAAUUCUCAAUUUUAAUUAUUAAUAUAUAUCAAUUAUUUAUUAACAGAUAAGAUGUGACAUGCAACUGAGAUCACUACAUUAUUCAUAACAAUUAUGACUCUUAAUGUUAAGUCUUAGGAAAUAAACCUGUCUUAGCUUUUUCUAUCCUUCUUCUUUAAUUUUUCUGUCACAAUCAUGGCCUGCUCUAAUCAGAAAUCAAUUCUUAGCUAAAGAAUACAUGCUUCUGAAUUCCUAAGCUUCCAUCAUUAUUAUUGACAGUAUUUGUGGAGUUUUACUUUUUUCUUGGGACCAUGGAGAGUGAAGCACAUUUUGAUAAAUGGAGGUCUGAACUAUACCUUUAUACUGGAUAGUAUAAAAGCCUUUUUAGCUAUUUUAAUAUUUCAGGGGAAAAGACCAUUUUGUCUUGGGAAAAUUGAAUGAACGAAUUUUCCAUAAAAUGAAAUGAUUAACAAAAUCUUGCUGAAUUUCAUGUUUUUAUUUAGCAGGUAUUGUAUCUAAAACGUUGUCAUUGUCUGUCAGAACAGUGUUAUAAUGCCUUUAUCUUAAAUUCUUUAUAAACUAGCUGAUUCUUGAAGGGGAGGGCAGUAUAUUUGCUUACAUUCAUUGUUAAUUUGAAAGAUGGAUUUCAAACUGUAGAGCUGCCGUGAAAAAUAUAAUGCUAAUUGUAGUUUGAAAAGCCCAGACACCUUCUGAUAGUACAGUUUUACACCCAAGUAAUUUAAAUCAAAAUCUGGAAAACACUUUUUUUUCUUUUGAUAGCAUAUAUGUAAUAUGCCUUAAUUAAUAGGAAAAUCCACAUGCUGGAGAAUGGUGAACAUGAUUAAAUAGAUUAAAUUACUUUUCUUAUACUAUGCAUUAAUAGCUUUCUCAACCAUGUCCCAGCGGCUGCAGCACAUUGUGCUAUACCUUACUGAGGAAAUCGCCUGAUUUUUUUUUUUAAUCAGUCUUCACUAUCUUGCCAUUUUUUACCAUUAUCAUUCUAACUUAGUGAAAUCCUGGUUUUCUCAAGUGUCUAGUCUUUCUUUGAUUUUGAUUUCACAUAUCAUACACAUCAGUUAUUUAUAUUUUAUCUUGUUAAUCAACUAAUUUCUUCACAUAUUUUAUUUUUCUUCCCAAACACAUUUUUGUUCAACUUGAAGGCAAAAAGUAUCCUUGGUUCUGGAUCAUUUUCCUCAUGGUUCUCAGUUGUAGAGAGGUGGAAGACACAUGACAAAUUCUAGUUUAACUGGAUUCUGUAAUUUAAAAAAAGAGGUGUUACAGAGUCAGUCCUGCAGAUGUUUGAGUUCCAGACCCUUCCAGGCAGGUCACCAGGUACUGCCUCUAGACUUAGAUGAUGUCCCCUGAUAAUUCUGUCACUCUUCUUCCGCAAGUUGCUCCCCCUUUGUGAGUCACAUCAUAUAAAUGAUAUUAUUUUAAUACUUUCUCUGUCACGAUCUGUCCACUCUAAGCAGACCUUAUUUAUUUUUAAUCACCCUUUUGCCACGUGGGUCUGCUUUUUCUCAUUCCUUUUCACUUUAUCACCGUCUUAGGGGACUUAACUAGCCAAAUGGAUAACCCAUUUCCUUGUUUUUCUGUUUCCAUGAGCACCCACACACUGCUCAGACCCUUUGAUUUCUAGCAUUAAACUUAUCAAUUCAACCUCUUCCUCCUCACUACAUUGAUUUUUUUUUUUUCCUACCCAGCCUCAUUGCAAAACCCAAUUCCUCAGUCUCUCUAAGUUUUUCUCCUUUCCCUACCCUGUCAGGAUCUGUUCUUGGACUAUUUCACCAGUGUACUCACUCCAGCUAGGGUGCCUCUCCCCUGAUAUCCCUCGUUUUGUCAGACUUCAUUGAAUAAAUCCCACAAUCAAUGUGACCUGAAGUCCUGUCACUGUGCUCAUUGGUUCUAGUAGACAUCUAGUUUACCAUCAGUACUUUGGAUUCAUCUCUUUCCACUUCUUAUUUCUGAGAGCAGCUGGUGGCUCUGACGACGUCCCAUUCUUUAAAACAUCUAACCAUUCUCUUAACUCUCAGCUACAAAUCUUCCCUUUGAUUUUAGUGAGAAAAAUCAACGGCAUUUAAUGUUAACUCCACGAUUACUGUUUCUUUCCUCAACAAAACAUUUUUUAGAAUGUCCUCCCUUCUACCUUCUUCCUGACCUUGUGGCACUUACAUCCUAUGCCUUUUCAGAGAUAAUAGCCCCUUCCUAGGUCUCCUUAAUCUUUGGUGCUCUGGUCUCUGCAGGGACCUUUUCCAUCAAACAAUUCAUCUUGAAAUUUUUAUCUUCAUUAAAGCAGCCACAAAUAUUCAUAUUCUUAAAUCUCAUCAAGAAAAAAAAACCCUUUAAUUUGACCCCAGUUUCCCUGAUUAUACUCUAUUUUAUUUUUUCUUCAUUAGUGAAAGUUUCAAAGAAUUGCCUUUUUAUCAUUCUUGCCUCUAUAGUAUUUACUCAUUAAUCAUCUGUUAUUCUGUUUCCUUGAUCACUCCAUUCAAACUUCUUUUUUAGAAGUUUGUAAUAACCUUCUAGUAGUUAAAUCUAAUUUUCCUAAGAUACCACGUUCUCUACAGUGGAAGCCUUUGUGUAACGUAAAAGAAGCAUAGAUUUAUAGAAUCUUUAUUUGAAUGUUACUUAUAUUUAUGCUACCUUCUGACAAAUAGGUGUGUAUAUGUGUGUGUGCACACUUUUUUUUUUAAAUAACUAUCUGAUCUGCAGUUUUCAUCUAUGAAGAAUUUAUGGUCUUUCCUACUACUUCUUACAGUUGUAUGUUUAACUAUGUAUGGGAUCUCUUACCAUUUUUAGUGCCUCAUAUUUAGUAAUAAUCUACUAAAGAGAUGUUUAAAGCUAUAUAGAUAAAGAUUAAGGACUGUCUUUAAGAAUGCCUUAAUUUUUCUCCCCCUUUCUCUCCUACCCUUGACUUAAUUUUUUGUGGCAAUAUACAUUCAUAAAGUAAAAUCUGAUAGAGCAAUCAUAUGGGAUUUUAAAAAUAUAGUUCCAAGUACAUUACUAAUGGACAAAAGGAAAGCUGAAAUCCAUAAAAUGGGGUAAAAAAAACUCCUCCUCCCUUUUUUGAAUUUUUAAAUUUUUUAUUUAUCUUGAAAUUCUGGUUUAAUUUGCAACAGAUCUAGAAAUUCAAGUCAAUUUAACAAACAUUUGUUGAAUUCAGUAAGGCUUCACAGCCUGAAAUAUCAAUCAAAAUUACUUUUUUUUACCUUAUAUUCCUUUAAUAUUUUGUUUUAGUCCUACAAUCCCCUUGUAACAUGAUAUGCUAUAUUUGAGUUAUUGUCAGUAAUAAUAACUGACAUUUUAAACCAUAAUUGUCUUUGCCAAAUACUAUGCAUGCUAAUCACCUUACAUACUUUGACUAAUCUUUUAUAAAAACAUGAAACCCAAAAAAGAACAUUUUCAUCCUCCUAUAAUGAUGAGUAACACAGAAUGUGUAAAUAAAUUUCCCCAGGUCUGUAGAUAGAGCCAGGAUUUGACAUUAAAUCUGUCUUUUUCAUAGCGUUGCCCUUCCCUUCUUCAGUAGUUUUAUACUUAGACACUUGGGACACCUCAAGGAAAAUGCGAUAUCCAGGAGGAAAGGGAUAAACAGAUGUUUAUAUAAUAUUAUAACAGGGCACAUUUUCAAAGCAUGAAUAGCAGUCAGCUGUUUGAAAGUGUCAAGGAAGCAGAGAAGUCUUGACAGAAGGCGUAACAUUUGGAAUGCCUCUAAAAAGAUGAGCAGGGAAGGCCGGGGAGGGAAAUGAUGGCAUAUUCCCGAGUGAGGGAACAGUGAGUUCAAAGUGUGGGCCCUUCAGGGUCUGCUGAGGCUAGAAUGUAGGACAUAUACCAAUUUAUUAGGUUUUACUUGUUUGUUUCAUAAACAAUGGUAGAGUUAUAUACCUCCUCUCUUGAAUCCAGUUUUGUUGGAACUGUUCAUUUAUUUAGCCUAUUGACCACUAUGUAUUUGUGUGAGUCAAAAGGAAUAAAAUCAGAAAUGAUUUUAUGUGAUAUUAAAAGCUUUAAAAAGCAAUACUAAGCCCAGUGCAGUAAUUAUAGAUCUGUGACCCCACCCCCACUCUUACCCCUGGAGUUUUGAGUCUGGUUUACUGCUAUAUUGAUUGUAGCUAAAAUCACAACCAGAUCCGCUAAACUUCUUGGCAUUCCUUUUAACCCAAAUUGAUACUAAUGAAUGUCUUAAGACUACAUUGUGCCUCCAGCUCAUGAGCAAACAUUAUGUCUGUUUCAUCAUCCAGUAGAAUGAUAAGAUUCAUUUAGGGUUAUUGAGGAAGAUUCUGUAAUUGUAAUGAAAUCCUGGCAUGUUGUAACUCUCAGAACACUGUUCCCCAUAGUGAACAUCUACAAUUAGUUGGAAGUAAUCUCAGUUCUAAAGGCCUUCAGCAGUGACUACCUCUUCUCUUACCUAUCAUUUGCAUGCACAUAAAUCCAAUGCUGAUUUAGUUUGGCAGGAACAAGGAGGAAGAGAGGAGUGAUGAGAGCAAUAUGAAUGGGCUUCCAUAUAUCAAAAUAGAAAGUUAUAUUACAAACAUUAUAUACAGCUUCCAUUUAUUGAGACCUUACCAAGUGCUAGGUUCUUUACCAAGUACUCUGCAUGCAGACCUUAUCUAUUUUAAUUCUCACAACUACCCUGUGAUGUAUGUAUUAUUAAGCCCAUUGAAAAUAAAUCAAGAAAUAACCUUAGCAAGAUUAGGUGUCACACAGUGACUACUAGAUUAGAACUGGACUAUAUGCCUAUCUAAUUCCAAAGCUGUCUAAUGCAUGUUAGCAACAUUACAUUGUGACUGCAAUAUAACAACUAUUCAAAAGUUAAAAUAUUUUUAAGUCAGACAAAUCUAAAACACCAUUUUAGUACAUUUCAGGUUUAAUAUAUUUAUUCUGUUUUAGAAUUAUCAAUAUUAUUAUUAUUUCAUUAACCAUGAUAUGCCAUAUUUUCUUUAUUAUUAUUAUUAUUAUACUUUAAGUUCUAGGGUACAUGUGCACAAUGUGCAGGUUUGUUACAUAUGUAUACAUGUGCCAUGUUGGUGUGCUGUACCUGUUAACUGGUCAUUUACAUUAGGGCUAUCCCUCCCCCCUCCCCCCACCCCACGACAGGCCCCCGUGUGUGAUGUUCCCCACCCUGUGUCCAAGUAUUUCCGUAAAGAUUUUCUUAUUCAAUGGCAGUCUACACCAUUAUAUCAAGCAGACUGAUUUGGUUCAUGGUUCUCUUUGAUUAAAAUGUAUCAGUCAUUUAUGUAAGAUAUCGUCAAUGAAUUCCCCUUGAAAUCAUGGAAACAGGUAAUUAAAUUCUGUCAUUUUCCCAAACUUUGGCUUUGUUCUUUUCCUGGAAAGGCAUAAUAUGAUCCUAGAAUAAACCAAGUCUCAUUCCCCCAAGGCUAAUUAACAUGCAAAUAAAUUUUCUAUACACUAGUGUUUUUACUAAGUAAAUCAUUGUAGCUGGACAUAUCAUUUUUAAGCAGAAAUUUUUUUUAUUUUUGUAUUUUGAUAACUCUAAAAUGUUUUAAAAGUUUGCAAAGGUAAGAAAUGAAAGGCUAAUGUAUUCUUUUUGUGCAAUCAGCCAGUCCUUGGUUUCUGCUCGGAUUGGUAUAUUGAAGAAAUGCUAAUAGUAUAUCUGUAACCUGUUAAGGAAUAUCAAGUCUCUUCAGGAAAGGAAUAAUAAAAUGCUAAUGAUCAGCAUUAACUGUCUGAAUUGGAAGGGAUUAUAGAGGAACAUUUCUGUCCUUUUCCUGUCAAAAGAGGAUCACCUUCUACAAUAAUCCCAACCCAGCCAUUACUUAUACCUUCCAAAUUCAUGCUGUAGUAGACAUUCUUUGAGGGAAGAAGUAUAUAUUAUUAUUAUUACUAUCUGGAAUUUCAUAAUGCUUUGCAUAGCAUUUUACAUAAUAUAUGCUAAGUACAUUUUUCAAUGAAUAUUUUAAAAUUCCAAUAAUCAGGAAUUCUCUACCUCACAAAGCAACCCUUUUUAUUUUUAGGCAGCAUCUACCUACUUAAGUAAAAUGUAUUCUCCUCAUCCUUCUGGUACCAAAUAGCAAAACUCUGAUUCUUCUACCAUGAUGGCCAGCACAUACUCAUCAUUCAAAUAAGUUCAUCAGUGCCCCUCUUAAUAUAUGACAUAGACAAGUGAACUUCACAUGCUGUGGUUCAACCAAAUAUGGGCUGUGAUUGUUUUUCACCUCCCUUUUUCUGGUCACUAAGAUUAUAUUCUUGGCAGCCUUAUCUUAGCUCAAGUUUAGCAGUCAACUCAAAUUCUUCUGUGGUUUUUUUUUCUCCAUCACAUUACUAUCAUACAAAUUUACCUUUUAACCUUCUCCACAAUAAGAAAGAAUCUGUACAUUUUAAGAUUACUGAAACAGGGGAGAAAAUAGAGCAGGCAGAAAAGCCUUUGCUUUAUUGGUUGGAGAGAAGGAAAGGAGACACUUGUAAACUUAUAUUAAUCAUUUUUGGUCCAUCAGAUACUUUAUUUUGCAGAGCACUUCCUCACUUCUCAGUUUUUAUUGUUUUGUUUUAUCCUGUGUUGUUUUCGUAUGAUCUAUUGUUGAGCCAGGGUAUCCUCAUAUGUACUUGUGUGAUAGAGUUUUAAAAACAUUUGCAGCAAUCUGUGGCCAACCCUCACAUCAAUGACAUGCUGCUGAUAGGAAGAAGUCUCUGUAUGAGUAUUGAAAACACUGAGAUUUACUUAUUGGAUGCAUUUUAUUUAUAUGGUUUGAUUCUUAUUUUUAAUGAUUUUUUUUCUAUUUUACAAUUUUAAGGGUAAAAAAUGUAUAAAUAUUUGGAAAUAGCUACAUCCAUGGAAGAGAGACACUGAUGAAUGAGUUUGAAUAUGAAAAUCUGAUGGUCUAUCCUGAAAGAAGAAUUAAAGUUUUGCUAUUUAGUACCAAAGGAUGAUUAAUAGUUUUUCUGAAACCAUAAAAUGCUCCUGGUAUCUUCUAAUUCCAAGUUAAAAAAACUCUGUAAAAUGUUAUUGUAGCUAUUUAGCUUUAAGCAGAUUAUUAUUUUACCAGAAUAUUUAAACAUUUCUAAAUAUUGUCAUCUUUAUUCAUAAAUGUUUCCAAUAUCUGUUCAUAUAAUCUCUGUAUAAAUUUCACAUACUAUACAGCAUGCAUUUAUAUAUGGUAACUAAUAAUAUUUACUACUUAGAACACAGUUAGAAAUGAAUGCAAUAUUCAUUUUGUACAAAGACAAUAUCUCAGAAGAUAACAGGAGAGCAAACUGAGGUAGAAGAAUGAGCUAAUUAGAUUGGAAUAAGAGAAAUGUUCCCACUUUAGUUCUCCAGUGUCUGUUUUACAGACUAUUCAUUUAUAUUAAAACAUGUUUCUAAGUGAAGCAAUUAUAUGAUACUUACAGAUUUUGCAAACAAGAUGUGAAAUUGUUGAGUAUUAUACACUGCUCCACAGAAUGAUUUUAAAGUAUUAAUUUUGUACCUUGACAUGGUGUCUUAUGUGAUAUUUGCAGAUUAGAAUGCAAAUAAUAAAGUUUUGCCAAAUUGGUAUGUAUAUAUAUAUAAACAGUUUUAAAACAGUAUCGUAGGCUGGGCACGGUGGCUCAUGCCUGUAAUCCCAGCACUUUGGGAGGUUGAGGUGGGCGGAUCACGAGGUCAGGAAAUCAAACAUGGUGAAACCCCAUGUCUACUAAAACUACAAAAAUUAGCUGGGCGUGGUGGUGUGUGCCUGAAAUCCCAGCUACUCGGAAGGCUGAGGCAGGAGAAUCGCUUGAACCCAGGAGGCAGAGGUUGCAGUGAACCAAGAUCAUGCCACAGCACUCCAGCCUGGUGACAGAGCGAGACUCCAUCACAAAACACACACACACACACACACACACACACACACACAUAAACACACACACACAUAAACACACACACAAACAGUAUGGUAAAAUACAAUACCAACAAGCAACAAAUUAGGUAAAGAAGUACAUUGGAGUUUUGAAUUUUAAAAUCAGGUUUAUUGAAAUAUAUAAAGUAAAAUUGAUCAUGUUAGUAUAAAUGAGUUUUCAUAAAUACAGAACAUUUUUAUUACCCCAAAAAAUAUUCCUUCAUGCCCCUUUGUAGUCAAAUAUCAAUGUCACUAGCCUUUUUCUCUCCCAUCCUGCAGUGCCACUGCCAGAAAGGGAUUGAACCACUAACCCUGGAUCUGCUGGAAGGCCCUGAUUUGGCUUAUCUAGGGAAAGGGCUGCUUCUAGACCCUUCAACCCCACUUAGCUGUCUAGGGUACUACACCUGACCCAGAUGUAAGUGAGAUUGCAUUUGUACAGAGAAAGAUGGAGCUGCCAUCAAACCAAAUGGAGGAAGAAGCAUUUUCCAGAAUAUAGCUGCUGUUCCCUAAGCAGAGACUUGGAGUCCUGGGAACAUGAAGUAAUGGGUGCCCACAUUAUAGUAAUUUGAUAAAAAUCAGUUAAUAACUUUCAGUGAGAUAGUUAAAAAUCAUUUUUUAAGAUAGAAAUGACUUCUUAAUAUGCUAACUGUAAGAUACGUAUGUUGUAAGAUAAUAGAAUACACAUUAUACCUAAUGUAAUAGAAAAUAUUCAAGGCAUAAAUAUAAUCUGAAAAAGCUUAUGGUUAAUUUUUUUAGUAAGUAAUCUUUUUUGAUCAUUUUUAACUCCUCAAAACAAUACACUUGGCACUGUUGUUUUUAAAUCUCAAGAAUAAGGACUCAAUUAUUUCUUCAAUUUGUUUUCUUCAUAUUCUGAAUUUCACCUAUAUAUAUUUAUUUUUUCAUGGGGGAGUACACAAUAAUUCAGUUUUGAAAUAAAUUAAAAUAAACUCAGAUCCCUUUGUAAAUGAAGGAGCAUUAAUGUCUUUAUUAAACCACAUUAUUGAAGCAAGAUUGACAUGUAAAAGCUGUACAUUUUAAUAUACACAACUUUAUGAGUUUGGACAUAAGAAUAUACUCAUGUACCCAUCACCACAAUCUAUACCAUAAAUCUCUCCAUCAGCUCCACAAGUUUUCUCUCACCAUCUACAUUAUUAUUAUUAUUAUUACGUGUGUGUCUGUGUGUGUGUGCGUGUGAUAGGAACACAAGAACUACCCUCUUAACAAAUUUUUAAGGAACAGUAGUAUUACAAAUUCACCUCUAGCUUUCUUGAAAGGCAGUGCCUUUUAAUUGUUUAUGCCUUCAUUUCAUUAGGAGUUUCUUCUGUCUAAAAGCUUAUUCUGAUUGAUUUUCCCCUAAGCAGCCUAAAACAAUUGAAAAAUCUUGUUAUUGUGUAGCUGUUGGAAAGUCAACUUUGUUUUAAACACCACAUCUGACAGUUAAAAUUUACUGUCACCACAGUAUUGCCCUUCCUGAGAGAGAUUUGUUGUUGAUUUCCUCCCUAAUUUUGGGUCACAUGGUAGAGAAGCAUUGAACAUAUGUUAUUGUGACAAAAUCCACACAUGGAUAUUUAUGAAACUAUAGAAACCUUUUGCAGUUCUCCAGAAACCUGUGAUGAUAACAUUCUAGUUAUCUUUGGUUAUAUUUUUGGUGCAAUAUAUGCAUUUAUUCAGUACUAUUAAAUACCUACUUUGUGGCAAGUAUAAUUUAAAUACUGAGAACUCAGUAGUAAACAAAGUCCUUGUCUUCACAGAAUUGUAUAUUGGAGAACAAGCACUACACAAUAAUUAUAUAAGAAUGCCAUGUGAAUUUUAAGUGCUAUUGAAAAAAACAGUGCUAGGUGAGGGAAUGGAAAAUGAUGGCAAGAUCUUGUUUUGAGAAAGAAGAUAAAGUGGUCAGAAACAUCAGUCCUCUCUGAGGUGAUUACUGAAGUGAAAAAGAUAAGAAAGAAGCCAUGUGACUCUCUGGGGGAGGAAUGUUCCAGCAGAGUAAACAACAUGCAUUAGACCUGCCAUGGGCAAUAUUUGAUGCAGUAGGGCAAGGCAACUCGAAGUGUGCUCACCAUGUUGAUCAUUUAUUACAAAUAUACAACAAGAUUUAAAGCAAUGUAAUGUAAUAUUUGAAUACAUUGAACUGGCAAUUGAUAUGAGUUGCAUGUCUUUUUUAUUUCAUUAUUUGGUAAGUUAUUUUUAUUGUAUUUUACAAAAGUUUAGGCUCACACUCAAUUCAGGGAAGGGGCUUGUCCUUCACUAUAGAUAAUCUGAGAAGCAUCAUGUUUGAGGAAGGGAAGAGGGCCACCUGGGUGAGUUAGGAAAGAGAAGACCUUGGUUCACUUAGCUGUGGUGGGACAAUGAGGAUAUUCUCUUCUGAAUGCAAAAAGAAUCAAGCUGGGCUGCUAAAAGUGAGAAUGGGAUGAAAAGUAAUUAAGAGAGGAGAUAUAAAAUAGAGUAAAUAGUUCAAGGAAGUAGAGUUUCCUGACUGUGGGGAGCACACACCUCAGGUUUGUAGUCAAAAAUUGAAUGUGAACUAGUCAUUAUAGUUAUACGUUUGUCAUUGUUGUUAAAUCCAGCCACUUUCAGCUGUUUUAUUACAAGUGCAGAGUAGGCAGAGGAUAAAAUUUAACUCAGAUUUGGGUUUCUCCAGCAAAAUAUUAAGAGGGGAAAAAAUAGCUGAGAGUUUAUAAAAGGAUGAGAUUAGAAUGAUUCACUUGGAAUCUAAGCUGGAUAAAGAGUGAAGUGAGGACAGGGGAUGGCCAAUGAAAGGCCAGCAGACUAGAAGUGCCAAUGAGGCCAGUGAAUCCCUGAAUGGGAGCACUAGAGCCCAUGAGCUGAAAGGUAAGGGCAAUAACUCUGUGAAAGGGAUGCCCAAAUUGGUGUUUGGAAAUGGUGCAAUUAUUGGUAAUGACUGGGGUGGAAAAGAAGUCAUCUCAUUGUGGUAAUAUUCUAAAACACUAAUAGAAAGCCUCAUUUUCAGACUUAAUGCAGGUCACAGUAGUAUUAUUAUAGUACCAUGUUUUAGAUGAAAUUAGUUACCACCAGAAAUAAAACAUUCAUGUAUUAUGAUAUUUAGCAUUUCAAAUCGGAUAAUUACAAAGGUUUUCAAGUGUUUUUCUUAAGUGAAUGUAUAGUUCCCUUCCUUUUCUAUAUAUGGUGAGAGGUGAACUUCUUUGGAGAGGAAUAUGUGGGAUGAGUCAAAGUACUGGGAGAAUGGAAAGGGUGGGGAGUUGCUGAGUUAUUAUAUUAGUGUCUGCUAUCUUGUAGUUCAAUGUCAAUCUUUUGCUGUUGCCUUUAGCCUCUCUUCUGCCUGGAAGGUGAAAAGAAGGCAUUUAUGGAGAGAUCUACAUUAUAGAAGAGAAAGGGGAGAAGUGUUAUAAGUUUCAGGACCAAUCAAUUUUAGACAAACUGUUGAAUAUUUCAAUUCCUUUAACAUGGAUGAAUUUUGAAGAGUAUUUGAGAAAUAAGUCAAUAUUUUAGAUCAAAGGCCAUAAAUAUCUUAGUUAUAUUACAAUAAUUUGUAAUUAUGUGAAGAAACAAUGUACCAAAUUGUCUCUACUUGGUUUUGGUUUAAAAUAUAGCAUGCCCUAUAUAUGAUAGUACCAAAGCUUUCUUUUGUGUGUAGAAAUGCAUUUUAUAUGCAUGACACCAGGAUACUUAGAUGAUAAGGCAUUGCAUGAAUAGAAGGACAGUCACUCCUUAUUAAAAUUAAUCUUUAUUUUUGUUGAAAUGUAAGACUUACUGGUAUUUUUUUCUUUACACAUUCUAAUUUUCUUGAGUCCACUUCUUUAUUUAAAAAACUUCACAUUUUUGCUUUAAAUUUUUAUCUGUAAGAAAUAUGUUUGCAUUUGGAGGAGACAUGUCUGUGAAAACCACACGUGUGUGUGUGUAUAUAUAUAUUAUGUAUAUAUUUUAUAUAUACCCAUAUAUUUUACACACACACACACACAUGGGAGAAUUUGUUUUCUUAACUUCCAAUGGAAUGCUAUACGGUGCUUCCAAUGUUUGACUUGUCUAGCUGAAAGCUAUGAUGGAUUUCUUCAUCCUAGAUGAUAUGUAUUCCCUUUACUUCAUUACACUUAAUCUAUCUGUGCAAGAUCUUAUGGCCUGUGGUAGACUUUAUACUCUACCAGACAGCUUAUCAGUUUCUUUGCAGGCCUCUCAAUUUGAAUUUUAAGUAAAAAUGAAUAAAUUUGUGUUGCUUGUUGAGACUUUGUUCUGAAAGGCUUCUGCUCUCUGAUUCUAGGGUGAUAACUAGAGAAAGGAAGGUCAUAGAUUGUCAUUUACAAUAGCUGUAUUGUAUCUAUGUGGUCUAUGUAUAUAUACACAUACAUAUGCAUAUACUUGACAUAUGCAUAUAUGUAUGUAUAUGCACAUAGUGAAUAUAUAACUAAAUGCACAUAUACAUUAAUGUAUAAUAUGUGUUUAAGGAGUAAGAGAGGAGAGCUGGUUGUUGAUUAUCAGAAAUAAUUUGAUAUUUGGAAGGAAGAAAGAUUUAUCUUAAUUUAGAUGGGGCAAUAUAUUGUACCAUCUGCUGUUUAAAAACGAACAGUCUUAUAAAAUUGAAAGCAAAACCAGAAAAUAAUUUAAAUAUUCUUCUGGCUUCUAUAUGAUGUGAGGAUUGAACACAUUGCUAAAUUCAUCCCAGUGGGUCAAAAAGGGCAGUUUGAGAAACCCAAGCCCAAGAGGAAAUGGAACAAUUUUAUAAACAAAGUAAAUAAAUAUAAAAUGCUCUUGCUAUCAAAAUUGAGUUAAUACAUCUCUAGCUGCUCAAAACAGUUGCUUUAACACAUAAUGAAGCUGUUUAAAAGAUAGUCAAAAUGCUAUACCUCAGGUUUGCACUCAGAUCAUUUUUUUUUUAUAUUGCUUUUGCUGUUGGAGGACUCCAUACUCCAAAUCUCAACAGGAUUUUAGGUGAGGAGUUUUGUUUUGUUUAUGCUUUUGUUUUUCUUUCCAAGUUAUAUGUGAAUGACUAAAGUAUUCUAAAAUCUCCUCACAUAUUUAUGUCUUUUAGAAGAGCUUAUUUCACAAUGUUCUUUGUAACUUUUAUGAAGGUAAAGAUAUAAUGAUUCGUUCCGUGUUAAUCUAUAAUAUAUAUUUUUUCUAGUGUUUGUUAAAAUAUAUUAUUAUUUGUCAAUAAUUUGUACUGAAAUUUUAUGUUUCUUGGUCAAGACUGUUCCCCUGACCUUUAAGGAAAUUUGUAUUACUAUAGCAGAAUACAUUUUUAGUUAUACAUUUUCAAGGUUUCAUUUACAGUACAAUAAUUUUGAACACUAUUUAAUAAAAUAUCAAGCAAAAUAAAAUAAUCCAGAUCUUCCUUUGUACUUUAGUUCCAUCAAGAAUCAACUCUUCCUGUGCAUAAAUUUUUCUCACCAAUGAAGAAAUCAAGUUGUGUUUAAUAGGUAGUCAAAAUUCAUUAUGUGUAAAGGUGCAAGUUAUUAGGUUUACUAGAAGAAAAGAGGGAUACAGAGAUAGUCUUGAAGCCAUAGAAAUAAUUCUCCCUUAUACAUGGUACUGAACAAAGUCUUCUACUUUUGUGUAAAAGCAAAAUACUGUAGUCCUCCUUCAUCUUUGGAUAAUGAAUCCUCCACAUUUAAGGGAUAUUAGAUCAUUCCUACCAAUAAAAAACUAUUUAUUUAAAAUGAAAACUAAGCCUUUGUGUGAAUUUAAAAGUAUUGUCUAGUGUGAAAACUGAGGAAAAAUUAAGUCUGAAAAGUCAACUGCUUAUAUCUACCUUCUUUAUUUUGAUCUGGCCUUUUCUUCUGAAAAUGUUUAUCUGUAAAAUGGACAUCCUGAUGACGACAAUGAUGAUGAUAAUUCUGAGCAUAAAUCCAGUAGUUCAAAUAAUUCACUCUUUCUUGAAAAAAAAUUUUUCUAUAAAUUUUUGGGAAAUUACCUACGUACAGAUCAGUAGUCAAUGUAUUCAAAUCAAUUUUGUUGCAAGAAUCAGGGAACUAAAGACACUAUAACAAUUCAAGCUAGGGAUGGACCUGGUAAAGUAGAGGUGUUGUAGACAAGCUCCUGACAUUUAUUAUGAGAUAUUUGACUACUAAAAAGCAUUCCUUGAGGUAUUUAUUUGAAAGGUAAUGCUUCAGAUUAAAGGAAAAAAUUAAUGUUUAUAUAUUUUUUUAAUUUUCAAAGGCCACUUGUACAAAUUCUCUUUUACCCUUAUAGGAUUUUAAAUACAUUCUCCUUAAUUUGUUGAUCUGACUGUAAGUAAUGCCUUAUGCUUAGGGUUAUUCUUCAGAGUAAUGUAAAAUAACAUGUUCAGCUGUCAUAAAUGUUAUUCAUGUAGGUUGCCAGGUAUAGAAUGAAUUCUAAAUAAUGUGAGUGCUAAGGAGUCUGGAAGCAAUGUUGCAACUUGUGUAUCUGGAUGCAAGAUAGGGGUGCAAUAGCAUUUUAUACAGGAGAUGGGAAAACAUCUUUCUCCAUUGCAGAGGAGGAGAUGGAAUGACAGUGUCUGAGUAGUCCAAGAGUGUUCCCAGCAUUUGUUGGCACCCUGCUUUCUGGUGUCUCAAUUUUCUUUUUAAUUAAUCAACACCAGUGAUUUGGAUUAAAAAAAAAUGUUGCUAGUGAAAUAAAAGCAAAACCUUGGCACUGUUAAGUAUAGAAUUGAAACCAAGUUAUUAGUAUCUGACAGCAUUUAGAUUGGGAGAAGUAGAACAGAGUCUAUUCUCAUGGACUCUUCAGUACUGCGUGAUUUACUCAGAGCUCCUGGAUGUUGAUUCUGAAGUCCAGAUGACUCAUCAGAAACUGGCAAUGAAGGGCAACCUGGAUUUAGAUAUGUUUGUACAUUCAGAUUAGUGUUAGAAAGAGAGAGGCAGAGAUUGAUGGAGAGAAAAGGGGAAAGGAGAAAAGAGAUUUAUUGACUUCAUUGACUGUAAUUAAAAGGAACUCUGAUCAUUCAAAAGACCUUCCUCAAAGUUUCACACUUCUUUGUUCAUGUUAAAACCUGUUUUUGUAUCUAGGUUCUCAGUAGGGUACCUUUAAGCAAAAAGAAGAGAGGAGCCCUUUAAACUAUAGUUUCAUGAAAUUUCACUCAUUUUAUAUUAGUGACUUUGUGUGUGUGACAUUUUAUUCUUAAAAUGUCUGAGAUAGCUUUUACCUAUCGGGCUCUCAUCACUUCACAGAUGGACUAUUGCAGCUACUUUUUUAAUACUGUUUUUAACAUUCUUGAUUCCUGUACUCAGAACCUGCAGAGGUUUACCACUGCUUGCAGGAAGUUCAAAUUCUUCAUCCAAUGUUCUCCAUAAUGUUGUUCGUUCUCCAUAAUGUUGUUGUUCUCUGUCCAUCUAAUUUUGCCUCCCACUGUUUUCUGACCAGAUCAUAAACUCCUGCUAGACAUAUUCUCUUUCAUUCCUCGCUGUCCUCUGACUUCAUGCUAUUUUUCUCUAGGCUGCUUUAGCUCACAUUAUUCUCCCCUACUCUGAACUUUCACUGAUAGAUUCCACUGUGUGUAUUCCUUAAUUGCCUAUACACCAUACUUCAUUUUAUUCACCCCUCUUGGGGGUGCAUAGACCUUGUCAUUUUCCUUUGUAUGUCCCAUGUGACUUGUUUGAUGAUGAGUAGUGCUGUCUGCAGAGAGAGCACUCAAGUGAUUAUAGAACAUGUCCAUUAAGUUUCCCAAAUAGAAGACUCUUUAUCUCCUAUUCUGCCACUCUGAAAACUAAACAGAGGCUGUGAAAGGCUCAGUAUUGCUGAUGCUGUAAAGACAGGACACCUAGUUGCUUGAAGUCCCAGAUGAUUGAUAGAAAUAGUUUUUGUAUAAAAAAGUGAAAUUGAUUAGCAAAUUAAAUAGGAAUAAAGACAAGUGAGGGUGAUUUAACUUAAUUGAAGAAGAGAUUAGAAAAAUCAGAGCUGUUUUUAAAAAAUAAGAAUAAAAAAAUCAGUGUGGUGAACACACCAAGGAGACUUUCAGAGGAAGGUUUAGAUAAGUCCAUAGGACAAUAAUCUUUAAGGUAUAGCAGAAACAUUGGACCUUCUUGAAUAAGGAAUGAAAUUGUCACAUACAUAAAUCAGAGUUCAAGAGGAUUACCCCAUCCUUGUUGAUCAGUGCUCAGUAAGCCAGGUUGCACAUCUAUUUUUUCCCGUUGUGAGACAGGAAAUAAUUAAAAAGGGAAAUAAUCAGAUUUGUAACUUAAUAAUAUGGUUUGUAAAACUAUUUUAUAUUCAUCUGGGGCUGGCCAGAAAGCCAUCUCUACUAGGCAUGAUGAAAUUAUUCUGACCAUUCUCCAGUAUUUAUAGUGAAAAUACAUGUUCAGUAUCUCUUUUGUUUCAUAAUAUCUAAACAAGAACACGUGGAUUAUUUCCAUCUUUAAUUUCGGGACCAGGUAUAUAUUAGCUCUUUUAAGGAAGUGUCAUGUGGCACAGGUCCAAAUACACAUCCUUCCUUGAUAAUAAUAAGUCUUUAUUUUUAUAAAGCUGUAUAUUUUGUAAGUCAAAUAUCUGUGUCUUUCUAAAUAUGUGCCGGAUGUUUACAUUUCAAAUGGGCAAGAAAAAUACCUGAUGUGGGAUAUACCAGUUUUGUGGGGUGAGCUUCAUUUAUUUAUUUAUUUGUAUUAUUACUUGCCAUUAUUUGAAAUAAUUCAUAAGAGCUAUAUAAGCUCUUCCUUUACUGCCUGGAAUGUUUCAUAUGACCUACUAAAUUUUGCAUUACUGUAUUAUUUUAGCUAGUGGGAACAUUUAGUAUAAUUACUUUGGCUAUUCUUUAUUAGAUUAUGAGCCUCCCAUUACUUCUAAAAGACUAUCUUGGAUGCUGUUUGGGUUCAGUAAAUAACUAUGUAUUACUGCAAAGGUAUACUGAGAUUUCUAUUUUAAGUGGUGUCUGGCUAGCAGCCCUGGACACAACCUUCCAAAAAUUUCCAGUAAAUUGACUAUGAAGACACACAAAGAGAUAUCUGUUCGUAGUAUGGAUAAUAUAGACUGAUUGUCGCUUACUGCCAGAAUUUGAGAGGAAUUCUGGAAUUGUUUUCCUACAUUUAGUUACAUAAAAUUUCAAAACUAUAGCAGUUAAGAUAAUUUUCUAAUGGACACUUGCGUACCCACCUCCUGUAUGUUACUAUUACCAUUUUAUCCUACAUGCUUAUCCCCCACUCCAUUGAUGGAACUAGAUUUUCAAGUGCAAUUGGUGGCUUACCUAUGUACACUUUUGGAAAUAGAGCUAAGUUUGCCCUAAGGCAAUAAGUAAAAAGCUGCAUGGCUCAAAAUAAAAGGUUUCUUUAAACUGGGAACUGGAAGCUACUCAUAUAUUGUAUAAAUUUUGCUUUUCAAACAAAGCAAACCCCUUCUGCAAGUACCUAUCUGUUUUAGUAUGUAUUCAGAAAGUAAUUAAAUGAGAAAUAGGGAGGAGGGGACAUGGUUAUAUUUUGUCCCCUGCAGAGUAUAGCUCUCACAAGUGGAACCCUACAAGCAAAACAGAUAGGAAGAGGCUAGGGUAGUGGUUUAUGCAGCAGUGUCUAGUUUUGUACACAUUCCAGCAGUUCUGAACUUAGUGCACUGGGCUAUUGGAGAACAAUAAGGUCCACUUCAGAACUGUGGAAGAUCCCUAGAGGAUAGAUUCUGGGGUUUGGAUAGAAACCAUGUACGUGGACUAGCCAUCCAGCUCUGAGCAAUGGAUUCGGCCAUUACAGAAGGGCAUAUGAAGUGGGCCAAAGAGUGAAGAAUGCAUUUUCUUUGUUGGCUAUCACCCAAGUUAAGUAUAGCUCCACCCUUGUCCACAAAUACAAAAACAGAAAGAAAUAAGAUAGUGGUUUUAAAACAAUAAAAAUACUUCAGAAUUAUGCUACAACAGUAAAAUCCUAAUGAAAAUACAACUGCAUCUACAGUGUUUUGCAGACAGGUACCUAGCCAAGAAUUUUAUACCAGAUUAAGUAAGUCUUCACAUGAGAAGGCAACAAAAAGGCAUUUUUUAAAAAGCUAAAGUUGAAGAAAUAUACCCUUAUACAACUUCAUAAAAAAAUAUUUGAAUCAAAAGUAAGAGCCUAAGGAUGCCAUUUUAUUAAAUGAAUUAUGCAUCUUCCCUUACACAUUCCGAUCCUAGAUCACGAAAAUUUAGAUGGGAUGUGUGUUUGAUCAGUAAAUAGCGCAGCUCAGGGAAGCACCUUAAUCCCUAUAUGUAAUGCUUUUCUCAGAUGUUUUAUUUCUUCAUUUUUUGAUACCAUAUGUAUUUGUCUGCCUAGGAUGCCAUAACAAAUUAGUACAAACUGGGUGGCUUAAACACCAUGGUUCUGGAGGCUGCAAGUCUGAAAUCAAAGUGUCAGGAGGUUUGGUUCCUCUUAGGCCUCUCUCCUUGGCUUGCAGAUGGCCACUUUAUCACUGUGUCCUCACAGUGUUCUUUCCUAAGUGUGUUCACAUCCCAGAUAUCUCUUUCUCUUCUUAUGGGACACCAGAGAUACUGGAAUAGGACCCCACCCUAAAAACCUCAUUUAACUUUAAUAUCUCCAAAUGAAGUCACAUUCAGAGGUAUUAGGAGUUAGGUUACGGCUUCAACGUACGAAUUUUGGGGAGACACAGUUCAGCUCAUAACAUCUUAUUCAUUGGUAUAUCUGACGACUUCUUAAAACUCUACCAGAUGCUAUUCUUUUCUUGUUUUUUUUUAUUAUUUUUAUUUUUAUUUUUUUUUAUUUUUUGAGUACUUGAUCACAAUGGCCAACCUCUAAAUGUAAACGUGAUUGUGGCAUUCAGGGUAAACCCAGUGCACAUCUCAUAGACUUAGCUUCACUGUUAUAAAUCAACAGCAUAUGGAAUUAGCAGCAUUUUGAGGCUCAGAGGGCAUAGGGAUAUCCUAGUGCAGGAUUUAGCUAAGAAGGCCUUGUUUCUAAAACAGAGUGAAUGGAGCAAAGUGCAUGAGAAUGCAGUGGAGCAGGCUGGCCAUACACCUUUCAGGCUCACUCCCUAGGCUGAAUCUCAACCACAUUGAAAAACAGUUCUGGGAAUCCCCAAGUUUCAUAUACAUGUGAUAACAAGGCAAAAGUGAACAGACAUUUCUGUUGUACAGGCAGCAUAAAGUUGCUUAGACACAACAACUCCUUAUAUCUAAGGGAGCCAAAGUGAAAGGUGGACCAUGGCACAGUGGCUUUACCAAACCACCAGGGAAGAGCACCACUGCUCUUGGGUCCAGCCCUCUCCUUCAACCAGUCCUCCAGCUGGUCAAGAAACAUAGUUCAACAGUAGUUCAAGGAAUAGUGAGAGUGGAAAAAAGGAAACCCCACAUAUUUUUUGUGAGCACACAUCAAUCAUGGUUAGACCUUGCCUUAUCUAAGACUAAAUAGAGAAGAAAACAAAAUGUGGUGAUAUAUUAGGGUCCUCCAGAGAAAUAGAACUAAAUUAUUAGGAGAGUGUGUGUGUGUGUGUGUGUGUGUGUGUGUGUGUGUGAUUGAAUGAUUAAUUUUAAAUUGGUUCACAAGAUUGUGAAAGCUGAUAAGUCUGAAAUCUGCAGGGCGUGCCGGAAAUUCUUGCAAUAGUGGAUGUUGCAAUCUUGAGUCUGAAGGCAGUCUAGAGUCAGAUUUCUUCCUCUACUAGGGACCUUUGUCUUUUUCUCUUAAGGCCUUCAACUUAUUGGAUGAGGUUCACCCACGUUAUGGAGGGAAAUCUGUUAACUCAAAGUCUACUGAUUAAGUGAUUGAUUUGUUUAUUUGUUGGUUGGUUUUAAGAUAGGGUCUUACUCUGUCACCCAGGCUGGAGUGCAGUGGUACAAUCACUGCAGCCUCGACCUCUUGGGCUCAAGCACUCCACCCACUUCAGCCUCUCGAAUAGCUGGGACUAUAGGUGUGCACCACCAUGCCUGGCUAAUGUUGGUAUUUUUUGUAGAGAUGGGAUUUUGUCACAUCGCCCAGGCUGGUCUUGAACCCCUGAGCUCAAGUGGUCAGCCUGCCUCGGCCUCCCUAAGUGCUGGGAUUACAGACAUGGUGAGCCACUGUGCCUGGCUCUGCUUAAGUGUUAAUCACAUCUGCAAAAUGCCUUCACUGCACACCCAGUCUAAUAUUUGACCAAACCCUGGGCACCAUAGCCUAGCCAAGCUGACGCAUAAAACUAUCACAGGUGACUAUAAAAUGUUCUGAAAUUUAAGUUUUGAAAAAUACAGUUAUCACAAGGCAGAGUAGAACAAGAUGUUUAACAAAUCUCUCUAGAAAAGAUCAUUUUUAUAUCAUCAGUAGAAUUCAAAAAAUACGGGCUCUGAGACAAGAGAUAAGACAGACCAAGGAGCAGUUCAAACUCAGGAAUAAUUUUUAAAUAUGCGCAUGUCCUAAGAAAAGCUAUAAAUACAUAAGUAUGUUUGUUUUGUAUUAUAUAGUUGCAUUUGACUAUGGAAAUGGAAAUAUAUCCUUCCUCACAAAUAUAGUUUAUUGCUAAUUAUUGGUAAAUAUAUUUAUUUGAUAUUGCAAUAAUAGUAUUAUUAGACCCACUUAGGGCCAAUAAAAGCUCAUAGGUUGUCAAAACUGUUUUGUCACUUUGGUUGCAAGGGGCAGAAUUUGAUUCUUAAAAUAUUGGAAUUUUAUAUUCUUAUUAUAAAUUUGGGGGAAAUAAAAGAUAAGGAGUUGCCAUAAAUAUGUGAGGGCCCACAACAUCAGUGUAUUUCUUGUUGUUUAAAAUCUUUCUUUAGGCUAGGUGUAGUGGCUGAUGCCUGUAAUCCUAGCACGUUGGAAGGCAAGACGAGAAGAUCACUUGAGCCCAAGAGUUCGAGAACAGCCUGAGCAACAUAGCGAGACCCUGUCUCAGGGGAAAAAAAAAAAAAAGCCUUUCUUUAGUUAUUAUUUCAUUCAGAUAGCUAUGAAAGUAUUUUUGGUUUUUGCUUGCUUGUAGCUUUUCUGUUUUCUACCACACAAAAAAUCCAAUUUUAAUUUUGGGUUUGUGAAAUAUGUUUUAUCAAAAUAUAAGCCUGAUGUUUCUUAUCUUCCAAAAAAUUUAAAAAUAUUAGCUCAGAUGUAAUUUUGAUCAUAAAUGAUUAACAUGUAAACUUAAAUUGAAUGUAACCACUUCAUAUGGAUAUUUCAAGGUAAAAAAUGAAAUCUAAAAUAUCUGCACACUACUUUUAAAAUUUUGUCCAUAAAAAUGAGAAAUACCGAUUCCUUAUAUUCUCAAAUUUAUUUCAUCAUUUAUAUAUGUCAUAUAUGAAAAUGUGUUCUUUUUGAUAUUUACUUUAGAUAUCAAAAUAAUACAAAUUUUAAACCUGAAAUAAACCGUAGAUAUCCGUUGUCAGGAUUAUAUCUUAUAAGUCACAUCAUUCUAUUCAUCUUGUCUAAACUAAUAUUGUUAUAUAGUAUCACACAAGAAAAAAUCAAACUAUAAAUUAAAUGUCAAAUUUCUGUUUGUUUUUCAACAUACAGUUUUAAAUAGAUGUUAUUAUUCUCUUUCUGUAUAAAUACCCUGAGCAGAAAUUGUCAGCAUGCACGUAUCUUUUUUAUGGUGGAAUUUUUGACUAAUGAGUUUUUGUUAGAAAUGUAUCAGUUCUACUUCAUUUUAUAGUUGAGGUGUUCAUAUGAGUCAGUCUCAGUAAUUUUUGAGUGACUUUCUGUAGAAAGUUGUUCUCUAACUAGAAUGGAAGAUGCUGACACCUAGAUGUUCAAAUGGGGCUGAUGGAAAAAAAUCAGGACAAUUUUGUAUCUUAUAUGGGCAACAAAGCAUUAUAAAAGGACAUGAAGGAUGGUUUGUCAUAUCCAUUAGUUUUUGCCGUUUUAUCUAUUAGACUUGCAGUAGCAUAUGUAGAACACAGGUUGUGUAUGGUGGGAAUAAUUUUGUGGAGGAUAUUAUGAGUAUGAUAUUCACAUGCUAAAUGAAAGUCAAGUAUGCCAUAAAUUUAACUAAUGUCACUUAUGUUUUGUUCACAUAGUAGUGGUGUCAUCAGCGUAAUACAGGAAAGAUUUACAGUACAGCCCAACAUGACUGCUGUUCUCUAGUGUGGGCCCCGGUGGGGAAAGGGAGAAUCAGAGGAAGAGACUAUUACUGAUGGCACUAGUUUUCAUUUUUAAAACACACAGCCUGGGCUGGGCGCUGUGGCUUACGCCUAUAAGCCCAGCACUUUGGGAGGCCGAGGCGGGCGGAUCACGAGGUCAGGAGAUCAAGGCCAUCCUGGCUAAUGGUGAAACCCCAUCUCUACUAAAAAUACAAAAAAUUAGCCGGGCGAGGUGGCGGGUGCCUGUAGUCCCAGCUACUCAGGAGGCUGAGGCAGGAGAAUGGCAUGAACCCGGCAGGCGGAGUUUGCAGUGAGCCAAGAUCGCGCCACUGCACUCCAGCCUGGGUGACAGUGAGACUCCAUCUCAAAAAAUAAAAAUUAAAAUUAAAAAAUAAAACACACAGCCUGUAACUAUUUGACCUUUUGUCUUUUAUAGUAUUUUAGUGUGCUUUUAUUUCAUUUUAUUUCAUUUUACUGAGCAUUUUAUUUCAUAGCUUUAGGUACAAAUGUGGAAAUUUUAGGAGCAAAGCAGUUUGUAAUUAUUUGUCUCAAAAAAUUGAUUUGACCUUUAAAGACAUAGUUUUUGUGCAUCAAUGGGACUAAUUUGUUUAAAUAGUUUAUAAACAAACUAUUAACCAGUAUGAUAUUUUUCUUAAAGAGAUCAGAGCCAAGAACAAUAACAAAAAAGUGAUGACUCAUUUUUCAACUUUCAAUUUAUGUUACAAGACAUUAUCACAGCAUUCAUUGGCUCUAAUUUGACAUUAAAUAAACACAGUGAAAAAACAAUCUUUGAAAAGUUAUUCAUGCUUUCGUAUAAACAGAGAGAUGGUGGUUUGGAGAUACCCCUUUUAAAACUGAGCCUCGUUAAUUUAAAACAAGCACAAUGAUACAACUGUACUUGACUUGAAGGAGGGCAUAUUGUUCUGCAGGCGUCCUAAUUUUACUUCUGGUCAGAGGGACACUGGAAGAUUUUCAGCCAGAACUGCAGUGAGAGAUGAAUUUUUAUUAUAUGCUGAGAUGCUCAGAUGCCUGGAAACAGAAAAGAGCUAAUUUUACUGUUGAAAAGUAGUUAAUAGGCUACCUGUUUCCAAAUAUGCACCUGCCAUCCCCCACCACUACCAUCCCAAGUAGAUGCAGACUAGAGCAUUCAUAGUGGUCGUUCAUCCGAUGUGGCUCCGCAUAGAUUUUUAUUAAGUCAGGCAUGGUUUGUGUAGCCCUCCCCGCUCCUGGAACUGAUCACCCAUGUUUUUUGCUACCAGAGAAGUAGUUUUUCAAGCAACACACAGCUUGUAUGUGGAAGAUUUCCAAAGUCACAAUUGCUUCUUUAUCUUCCAGUGACUUUGAAAGAAAGCCAUGGCAUGAAUAGAAUGCUCAAAGCUCUGUCCCUGCACAAUCUGUAGUCCUUUAUUUCAGCUAUGCUUUUUACUGCUUCUUGGGAAUUGAUUUUUCUCUUCAAUGUACCACACCCCUUUCAAUUCUCUCUCCUUAAAAUGGAAAAGAGAAAGAAAAUGGUGCACAAGGUGUCUGAGAAGUAGAGCAAAAAGUAGACAUGUGUAAAUCCAUAAGGAUAUGAAAUGGAUGGAAAAUAUAAGACACAAGACAAACAAUACUCAUUCAUGCAACAAUAAAUUAUGUAAUUCUGGAGUGGAGGAGCUAGCCCAGAACUUUGCAACAUUCAGACCAAAUUUCUUAGACUAUAAUUCAGUUAUUCAAUUUUUUUUUAUAUCGGUACUUCCUUAUUCCUUAAUGUGUCUGUUUUCAGAGCCUUGGGUAUCUAAAUCAGAGGUGAAAUCUCUCCGUUUCUAUGCCAAAACCAUUCCAUUUUCUGGUCAAAUAGUCCCUGAGUGUUUAAUGUAAUUGCCAAAUGAAUUUUCAAAAUAUGCCUUGGAGAGUUACAAUAAAACAUUUUCAAGGCUCACAAGUCUUACGGUGAUCAGGAUUAGUUUGUUUAACCAGCAUUUCCUAAAUGAAACCCUUUCACUCGAUAAUGACUAUUUUUAUCUCACUACCUUGGAUUAAUGUGUAGAUAGUGGACUGUACAGAUUCAAAAGAUAAAGGAAAAAAAUUUUAGGACUUAGUAAGAGAGGAAUAUAGGGUUAGGUGAGCAAGGCUUCUAGAUUUCUAGCUCGUAACUCAGUGGGACCAUUCACUGAAUGAGACACUGGAGUAUUUUUUUAGGGCUUUCAUAUAUGCCCGGGCAACAAAGUAUGUCUCGUAUUCUUGAUUUGAAGAAAGGCAGGCUUUCUGUUCAUUGCAAGAGUUAUUAUUGAGAGCCUAUCCUUUGAGAAAAUAUAAUGUUUGCAGAAAUAGAUUUGAUAUUCUAGCUAUGUAAAGAAAUGAAACUUUAAAAUGUGAGAUAGAAAAAUUAUAACCAGAAUAAUUAGAACAAAUUACAUUCCACAUCAAGGCACCUUACUGUUUAGACUUAAGCAAUUAUUUAAUGUCUGCAGUAUUGUCAUCUGAAAACAUUCUAUGACUUAGAGAAAAUAUACCAUAUCAUAACUCUAACUGUAUUAUUCUAUCUUUUUGCCAAGCAAUACAAGCAGAGUAGUACAUUCAGAACUGGCAAGAUGAUUGUCUGAAUGUGACAUUAUCUGAUGACACUCAGAAAGCCUUUAAACAUAAAAGAUAUAGAGAAAUGCUUCAUUGCUUUCCUUGGAUGGCAUUUUUUCCUUUCAGCCUAAGCAAGAUUAAUGUUCUCAACUGACAUGAUGACACAUCUAGCUGUGAAAUGACAAUAAAGUAUAUACAAAAUGGGAGUAGGGACAUGCCUAAUAAAAUGCAAUACCUUAAUUUUUUUUCUAAAUACUAUUAGUUUGAGAUUGUUCUGAAGGUAAUGAUGUUCAACUUGUAAAUGUGUUGCAUAUGCCAUUAUGUUUAUACAUUCGUCUGUACACACUGUUUUUAUUAGGAGUGAUAUAUCACCUCACUUUUGCUUGACUCCUGUAUCUCAGAAAAGUGAUGGCAUUUCUUAUUCUCUUCAGUUCUAUUUAGCAGACAUUUACUGAGUAUUCUGUUGUUGUUGUUGAAGGUAGUGUGCAAUAUGUUUCUAAUAUGAAUGUAACAAAAAGAACCUGAGAAUAUCAAUGAAAUUUAGGUGAAUACUUAAUUCCUGGUGAUCAAAGCUAAUGGGUGUUCUAAUGAAAAAAAGUCUAGCACUAUCAUGGAAUAACAGCAGAAUCUGGAGCAAUAAGGCAAGAAAUAAUUUUAUUUUUCAGACAAGCCACAUUAUUAAUGAAAACAUGCACCACACAUGAAUAACAUUGGAAUAUUACCUCUUUCUUGAAUAGCAGUGAUGAGAUGGCCUACUCUGAGAGGUACUGAAAAAUCAGUUGAGGAGAUUAUUGAGCUUAAGUGUGUAAUAAUCAGAAUGAAAAGAAAUACAUGUAGUCAGAAUUACAAGCCAACUUAAACAGAUAAUUGAUAAGGCAAAUUGUAUAAUAUUCAAAGCAAGAAAGAAGACCUAGAAUACAUCAAGAUCUCUAUCUGUACAAAUCGUGGUUCACAUAAGCAGUAUGUGCAAUUAGUGGAAAUAUGUCCUGAUGAAAUCAAUAGGCCUGUUUAGGCCUUACUUUUCAAAAUGGGCACUAGUAACAUCUUUGAUAGAAAGAAUUCUUGUUGCAGUACAUUGAAGUAUUGGUUCAUGUCAUUUCUGUGCAGCACUCAUUUAUCAUCUGUUUCAAAUGAAUCUUUUUGGUACUUCAUAUUAGCUUGUGAACGUACAAAAGUAUCCUUCCUAUCAAGUAACUCUAGCAUUAGAAAAGAAUGACUGCCUCUUGAGAGUUGAGUGUAUAGCUUGAUUUAUUCAUCUGCAACAGAAAAAUUCCUUCAAAAGUUUUUACUGUAUCUUAAAAUUUUGUUGGAAUUCUGUAUUCUUUCUUCUGGCAUGUUAUUGUGAUUUCUACCUUAACUCUUUAGAAUCCAGAGGAGGUUCACCAGAGUUUUCUUGUGGUUUCUCCUUUUUCCUGUGAAUACACAAGUACUCUCUUUUGAGAAGCACAGUAUUGUGCAGAUUUUGCUCUCAAUGAAUUGGUCAUGAUGUGCCAAAAUGAUGUUCACUCAAAGUGUUCUGGGAAUCAAGGGAAGAGAAUUGACGGCUGUACCUGUGUCCAUUUGAAGGGCAAUUUGGAUAGGAGUGGUUUUGGUAAACCAAUGAGGAAAAAGAAGAGGGUCUUCCAAGCUGAAGCACAGUGCCUAUGCUUGUAUAAGCAGUGAGGCUGGGAGGGUGGGGUGAGAUUCUAAAGAAGAUGGAAAGAUGACUCGAGAUCACCUUGUCUGACUUGCUAUGCAAACUACAGAUUUUGAUCCUCAUGUAUUACAUGUAUUACUGAUUCUUUAACAUUGAAAGCUACUUUAAAAAAUGAAAUUAGUGUGAAAGUUCAAUAAAUACUUUAUAAAGAUAUAAUUAUCUUAAAACUUUAUAAAAUUUCCUUAUAAGCCAGUAAGUGAAAGAGUAUUUUGAUAAAAGCAAAAACUAAACUUCAUUGGUUUUAGAUGAUAGCAGCCAUCAUAUAUUGGCCUUAACUUCUCAUUAAUUUCUACAUUUUGUUUUGGUUUCAUGGUGUCUGGAAAAUCCUUAUUAGUAUAAAUAAUACACAUCAUUUUAAAAGGGUAUAUUAAUAGUUUAUUUUGAAAUCACAGGACAGUCUCUUAGUAAGCUGAUCCACAGGCUUGAAAGAGGAAUAAUUGGAAAUUAUUUUAAUGCUGAGUCAUUAAGAAAAUUUAACUGCUGCUUACCAUGCUUACCAGGCAAAGAGUUUAGUUUAGAUGGAGUACACCAAUCAUUAUUGAAAGAUAAUAUUUUGAAGUAAUCUCAGAUAUGUCAAUAUUCUGCUUAGUCAGACAUUGAGUUUGUAAAUAGCCAUUUUUCCUUUAGUUUGCAUGCUGCGUCUAAAAGGCAAGUUCUAGUUUCAUCAAAGACACUCUCCCUACAGGUAACAUUGUGACCUUGCAUCAAGAAAGUGAGCUUGUUCAGCUACAUAAAAUCCUAGGUCAUAAGCAGGACAAGACAUUGCAUCGCUGUUGUAAUUGUUUAGGUAUAAAGCUAAUACAGUGCAUAUAGGGUCUGUAUUGGGAAAACUAUAAAACACUGAUGAAAGAAAUAAAAACACAAUAAAUGAAGAAGAGAUAUUCUGUGUUCAUGGAAUAGAAGAUUCAAUAUUGUUAAGAUGUCAGUUCUUCCUAACUUGAUCUUAAGAUUCAACAAAAUCUCAAUCUAAGUCCCAGUGUCUAUUUUGUAGAUAAUCAAUAAACCAAUUCUAAAGUUUAUGUAGAAAGGCAAAAGACCUAUAAUAGCAAACAUAGUCGUACUGAAGAAGGAAAACAAAAAGUUGGAGUACUACAGUUAACCAAUUUCAGGAAUAACUGUUAAGCUACAGUAGUCAAGAUAAUGUGGUAUUGGAGAAAUACUAGACAUAUAGAUCAAUGAAAUAUAUCAGAAAACCCAGAAUAGACAUAUACAAAUAUAGUUUACUGCUCUGUAACAAAGACACAAAGAUGAUCCAAUGAAGAAAGUAGUGUCUUUUCAACACUGCAAAUUAGCAAAACAUCAUACCCCUCUAAACCUAUUAGAAUGACUAAUAUCCACCAAAAAAAAAAAAUGAAAGUACCAGUUGCUAACAUGGAUGUGACACAAACAGGAAUUUUCAUUUAUUGCUAGUGGCAAUGCAAGUUGGUACAGUUACUUUGACAUUUCAUACAAAAUUAAGCAUAGUCUUAAGAUACUAUCCAGCAAUCACAUUCUUACCUAAUUGAUUCAAAAUCUUAUUUCUGGGCUGAGUGCCAUGGGUCACCCCUAUAACCUCAGCACUUUGGGAGGCCAAGAUGGGAGCGUUGCUUGAGCCCAGAAGUUUGAGACCAGCUUGGGCAAUAUAAUGAGACACUGACUCUCCAGAUUUUUUUAUUUAAUUAUCCAAGUGUGGAGCUGCACACAUAUGGUUCCAGCUACCUGGGAGGCUGAGGUGGGAAGAUCGCUUGCACCCGGGCAGUUGAGGCUGCAGUGAGCCAUGAUCAUGCCACUGCACUCUAGCCUAGGCCACAGAGGGAGACUCCAUAUCAAGAAAAACAAAAACAAAAACACUUAUUUCUGCAGAAAAGCCUGCAUACAAAUAUGUAUAAGCAGCUUUAUAUAAAAUCACCAAAAACUGGAAGCAACCCAAAUGCCCUUUGGUAGGCAAACGAAUAAAGAAAUGGUGGUAUAUGCACACAGUGGAAUACUAUUCAAUAAUAAAAAGGAAUAAAAAGAAAUGAGCUGUUGCUUGUCUCACUCAUAAAUGAACAAUGAAAACACAUGGACACAGGGAGGGGAACAUCACACGCUGGGGCCUGUCAGAGAGUUGGGGGCAAGGGAGGGGAGAGCAUUAGGACAAAUACCUAAUGCAUGCGGGGCUUAAAACCUAGAUGACGGGUUGAUAGGUGCAGCCAACCACCAUGGUACAUGUAUACCUAUGUAACAAACCUGCAUGUUCUGCACAUGUAUCCCAGAACUUUAAAAAAAAAAAGCCUUAAAAUAGCAAAAAAAGAAAUUAGCUAUCACUUUAUACAUAAACAUGCUUGAGUCUUAAAUAUAUAUUGCUCAGUGAAAGGAGUCAGUCUGAAAACGCUAAAUAUUGUAUGAUUCAAAUAAUAUAACUAUUUUUUAAAACCCCAAAGGCGACUGGGCACAGUGGCUCAGGCCUGUAAUCCCAGCACUUUGGAAGGCCGAACUGGGUGGAUCAUGAGGUCAGGGGUUCGAGACCAGCCUGGCCAGCAUGGUGAAACCCUGUCUCUACUAAAAAUACAAAAAUUAGCCAGGUAUGGUGGUGCAUCCCUGUAAUCACAGCUACUCAGGAGGCCGAGGCAGAAGAAUUGCUUGAACCUGGGAGGCGGGGGUUGCAGUGAGCCAAGAUUGAGCUACUGCACUCCAGCCUAAGGGACACAGCAAGACUUCAUCGAAAAAAAAAAAAAAAAAAAAAAAAAAGAAAAGCCCAAAGGCAAGUGUAUUAGUCUGUUCUUGCAUUGCUAUAAAGAAACACUCAAGACUGGGUAAUUUAUAACAAAAGAAAGGUUUAAUUGGCUCCCAGUUCCACAGGCUGUACUGGAAGUAUAGUGGCUUCUGCUUUUGGGGAGGCCUCAGAAAGUUUCCAAUCAUGGCAGAAGGCAAAAGGGAGGCAGGUGUCUUACAUGGCAGGAGCAGGAGCAGGAUGGGGGAAGAUGCUGUACACUUUUAAACAACCAGAUCUCAUGAGAACUCACUAUCAUGAGGACAGUAUCACAGGGUAUGGUGCUAAACUAUUCCUGAGAAACCACCACCAUGAUCCAAUCCCCUCCCACCAGGUCCCACCUCCUACAUUGGGGAUUACCAUUUAACAUGAGAUUUGGGUGGGGACACAGAUUCAAGCUAUAUCACCAAGUCUGAAGAAUUACAUGACAUUUUUUAAAAGGCAAAACUAUAGAGACAAUGUAUGAGUUAGGAUUGUACAGAAAAUUUGAAACAAUAGAAUGUGUCUAUUUGUAGAAAGGGAUUAAUUAUAGAAAGCAGCUCAUGAAAUUAUGUCUGCUGGUAAAUCCAAAAUCUGCAGUUUAGCAGGUUUGAGAACAGGAGAGUCAAUGGUAGUUCUAGUUAGAAGGCUGGCAGCCUGGAGACUCAGGAGAGCUGAUGGUGCAGUUUCAGUUCAAAGGGCAGCAGGCUCAUGACUCAUGGAGGAGCCAGUGUUGCAAAUGAAUUUUUAAGGGCAAAUGUUGCAGAUAAAAUCUGAAGGCAGUCUGCUGGAGAAUUUCUUUUUUCCUCCCGGAGGCUGGUCUUUUUGUCUAUUCAGGUCUCCAGCUGAUUGGAUAAGGCCUACCCACAUUAUGGAGGGCAAAAUGAUUAAGCAUAUAUUAAAUGUUAAUAUCAUCCACAAACAACUUUUAAGUUGACAGAAAAAAAAAAUAAUAACCAUCCCAGAAGAUAAAGGGAUCAGUGGUUGCCUGAGGUUUGUGGAGGAGAAGAGGUUUGAAUAGGUGAGGCACUGAGAGUUUUUUAAGGGCCAUGAAACAAUGAUACUGUAAUUGUGGUGUAGUGGAUUGACUGAUGACCCCCCAAAAGGAUGUGUCCACAUCCUAAUUCCUAGAUAAUGUGAUUACAUUACAUGGCAGAAAUGUGAAUAUCACCUUAUGUAAUAUCUAAUGUGUUAAACAGAUAUGUUUAUAUGAUUAAGGACUAAGGACAGGUGUGAUUAAGAAUUAAUGAAUAGGGCCUCUCAUGGUGGCUCACGCCUGUAAUCCCAGCACUUUGGGAGGCCGUGGUGGGUGGGUCACCUGAGGUAGAUCAGGUGUUUGAGACCAGCCUGGUCAACAUGGCGAAACCCUGUCUCUACUAAAAAUACAAAAAUUAGCUUGUUGUGGUGGUGCAUGCCUGUAAUCCCAGCUACUGGGGAAGCUGACACAGGAGCAUUGCUUGAACCUGGGAGGCGGAGGUUGCAGUGAGCUGAGAUGUUGCCACUGAACUUCAGCCUGGGUGACAGACUGAGACUCUGUCUCAAGGAAAAAAAAAAAAAAACAAGUUUUAAUGAAGGGAUUAUUUGGAACUAUCUAGGUGGGCUCUAAAAGACUACUUCAGCCAGGUAGUGAAGGUCGGCAUCCACAGUGAUAAGUCAUGUUGUUAGUAUACGCUCUUGCUGUGGUAUGAUGUAAAUGGCACUUUACCUCUCUGGUUUCCCUCCCCAAAACUCAUAGACUCAGUUUAUAAUCAUGAAAAAAAAUUCAGACAAAUUCCAAUGGAGGGACAUUCUGCAGAAUACCUAAUGACUAUUUCGUAUUAAAACUGUUAAGGUCCUAUAAACAUGGGAAGUCUGGUAAACUCACAGAACUUAGAAGAUGAAGGAGAUAUGAUGUAAUUAAUUUUCUUGGUUGGGAACCUGGAACAGAAAGAGGACAUUAAGUAAAAACUAAGUAAAUCUAAAUAAGUCUGAAUAAAAUGAGUUUAGUUAGUAAUAAUGUACCAAUAUUGGUUCAUUAAUUUUGACAAACAUACCAUGUUAAUGUAAAAUGCUAGUAAGAGGAAAUGCUAUAUGGAUAUAUGGGAACUUUGUACUAUCUUUGGAAAUUUCCUGUAAAUGCAUAACUAUUCUAAAAAUUUAUUUUUACAAGAGCCUGUGUACAUGCAGGCCUGACCUUUAAAAGAAAAAAAAAGUACAAAUUUCCUCCUAAGUUGUGUAUUAGUUUCCUACAACUGUUUAUCAAAGAACCACAAACUGGGUGAAUUGAAACAACCUAAGCUUGUUCUAUCAAAGUUCUGGAGACCAGAAGCUCAAAAAUCAAUGUGUCUGCAGUGCCAUGCUCUCUCUGAAGUUUCUAGGGACAAUGCUCCCUUGCCUUUUUCAGCCUCUGGUGACUCCUGGCUUUCCUUAGCAUUUUUGGGCUUCCAGAUGCAUCACUCCAAUCUCUGCUUUCAUCUUCUCAUGUUCAUCUUUCCUAUGUUUCUGUUUUCUCCUUUUCAGAUUCUUAAAAGGAUAUUCAUCAUUGAAUUUAGGGCCCACCCAAAUCUAAUAUGAUCUUAAGAUCCUUAAUUACCUCUGCAAAGAGCCUUAUUCCAAAUAAAGUUCCAUUCUGAAGUUCCAGGUGUUGACAUCUGUUUCGGGACCCACUAUUCCACCCACUUACACCAUGCCAUAUCCAUAAAGUGUUCAACCAUCUGCAUGAACUGGGCAAAAGAAGCCUUCAGAAAAAUAAUCUACAGUACAAUUGAGUAUAUUAUUAGUCUGCCAAGUGUUAGAAUUUUCUUAAUGAUUAUAAUAAUAGGUAAUAAUUAUUGAACUCUUACUGUAUGGUAUUCACUGAUAAGCAUGCUCUACAUAUAUUCUCUUUUAAUUUUCAUACUGCGGUUAUCCUUCAUUUGUAGGUGAUAAAACCAAAGCACUGAGUAGUGAAGAAACUUGCCUAAAGUCAUACAGCUGGUAAAUUUCCUCCCAGUGUUAACAGCAUUUAUUGCUAUUAAAACUGCUAAUAAAAUGUGUAUCAAACAUUUGCAGAAAUUCUGAAUCCUUCUAUGGAACCUGAGGAUUCUACUUUAAGGUUUAAAGUCAUGAGAGAGAGAGGUUUACAUUGAAAGAGUUUUCAGCUCCUUGGUAAGAAGUUUUAUCAGUCUCUUUUGCUGAGGGGUUCUUGUGAUAGAACUCAAUAGUGCUUUUUCAAUUUAUAGGAUUUCAGGUAAGAUUCCACCUCCGUUAUCCAGCUAUCUUCUAAUAUACUCUUAUCUUCUCUAUUAAAUGUUUCUCUCUGAAAAUGAUUUACCUUCUUAUUCAGGCUUCCUCCUCAGUAGAAUAACCCCAAACUCCUCCCCACCCCUAUACAUGCACACAUGUGCUAUUUUAUCCAUUUAACUUGUGUCUUCCCCCAAAGACUUAAAAAUUCCUUCUUAAUAAUGUAAAAACUUAUAAACUCUGCUACAAGCAUACGUAACAUUUCUCGAGGCUAUUAAAAAUAUCUAGAUGUCAGGUAAGUGUAUAUGAUGAAGUAAGUGAUUCAAAUAGAACAAUUAACAGAUGGCAGCAACAAUUAUAUAUUCAUAUUCCUGGCCAACAGCAUUUGGUAGAUAUAAUUACCUUACAGGUGUUAACUGCCCUUUAUGGAAUGAGACAUCUCUGAACACUAGAGAAACAUGGUUAACGAUGGUCACAAAUCAGUAAAAAUUCUAUAUUGACUCAUUUUUUU
Molecule: long non-coding RNA, 59472 nt
Organism: Homo sapiens (human)
Lineage: Eukaryota; Metazoa; Chordata; Mammalia; Primates; Hominidae
Exons: 2
Source: RefSeq, a predicted model, not a curated record